UUGGUGGAGGUAGAUCUCCAAGUAAUUCAACACGCAAAUUAUUCUUAAGGAUAGGACGUUGUUCAAAGAUAACACUAUCUAUCUCAUUCCUUUCAUCCAUAUGCAUAUCAUUUUCAUGAUCAAGCAAGUAUUGCUCUAAAGGAUAAGUAGGAGGCACGGCAAUAGAAGCAAGAGCAAUAAUUUCAUCCUUACUAGACAAAAAAUCAUGAGGUUGUCUACCAAACUUAGAAAAAUUAAAUUCAUGUGACACACCUCCAAAGCCAACUGUAACAGUUUAUUUCUCACAUUCAAUUUGAGCACUAAUAGUAUUGAGGAAAGAUCUACCAAAUAUGAUGGGACAAAAGCUAUCUUGUGUGGUAGCAAGAACGAGAAAAUCAGUAUGAUACUUAGUUUUACCACACAAGACUUCAACAUCUUUAACAAUUCCCACAGGGCAGAUAGUAUCUCUAUUAGCAAGUUUAAUAGUAACAUCAAUAAAUUCCAUCUCGACACGUGCAAUCUCAUCUUUAAUUUCAUUAUAUAAAGAUUGAGGUAUUGCACUAACACUAGCACCCAUGUCACAUUAACCAUGAUAAGAAUGAUCUCCUAUCUUAACAAAAACAACAGGCAUGCCAACAACAGGUUUAUGUUUGUCUCUAGCAUGAGGUUUAGCAAUUCUAGCAGCACCUUCACAGAAUUGAAUAACAUGCCCAUCAACAUUAUCGUCCAAGAGAUCUUUAAUAAUAGCAAUACUAGGUUCAACUUUAAUUUGCUCAGGGGGUGUAGGUGUUCUAAUGUAGCCCAUACGUAUCACAGUUGAAGCUUUAGCAUGAUCCUUUAUUCUAAGAGGGGAAGGUGGUUUCUCAAUGUAAGCACUAGGAACAACAGAAUCAUUAUAAGCAGUAACUUUCUCUUCAACUGGAUUGGGUUUUACUACAUUAACUUCUAUGGGAGGAUGAUAUUUAAACCACUUCUCCUUAGGGAGAUUAAUAUGAGCAACAAAUGAUUCACAUAAAGAAGCUACUAUCUCACAGUCAAGUCCUUGUUUAGCGCUAAAAUCACGAAAAGUAUUUGUUUGAACGAAGGAUUUAACGCAAUCGAACUUAAGAUUCAUACCUGACUCCUUACCUUCAUCAAACUCCCAAUAUUCAGAGUUGCGUUUAAUUCUUUCCAAUAAAUCCCAUUUGAAAUCAAUAUGUCUCUUCACAAAAGAACCGGUACAAGAAGUGUCAAGCAUGGUGCGAUUGUCAUGAGAAAGCCGAGCAUAAAUGUUCAUAGUAAUAAUUUAUCUAGGGAGCUCAUGGUUGGGGCAUGAAUAUAACAUUGACUUAAGCCUCCCCCAAGCUUGAGCGAUACUUUCUCUAUCACGAGGCCAAAAAUUAUAGAUAUAAUUCCGAUCAGGAUGUACCAAAUGCAUAGGAUAAAACUUUCGAGGAAAUUCCAAUUUCAAUCGGUUGUAGUUCCAUCAUCUAGUAUCAUCACAUAGCCUAUACCAUGUCAAUGCUUUAUCCCUCAAAGAUAAGGGAAAGACCUUCUUCUUGACCUCAUCCUCGGGCAAACCUGCAAGCUUAAAUAAACCACAAACUUCAUCUACAUAGAUUAGAUGCAAGUCGGGAUGUGAUGUUCCGUCUCCUGUAAAAGGAUUAGCCAACAGUUUCUCUAGCAUACCCGAAGGAAUUUCAUAAUAAAUAUUUUCAGUAGGUGCGGUAGGUUGAGGAUAACUCUUUGUGCUUCCGGUCGAGGUGAAGAUACCCCGAACAAGCCCCUCAAAGGAUUAGUUUCCAUAGUGACAAGUGACAAUAAAUUUUAGCACAUUAUAUAAAUGUUUCCUUAUCAAAUUCCACUCACCAAAGGCGCUUCACUCCCCGACAAUGGUGCCAGAAAAGAGUCUUGAUGACCCACAAGUAUAGGGGAUCUAUCAUAGUCCUUUCGAUAAGUAAGAGUGUCGAACCCAAUGAGGAGCAGAAGGAAAUGACAAGUGGUUUUUAGCAAGGUAUUCUGUCCAAGCGCUGAAAUUAUCGGUAACAGAUAGUUGCGGGAUAAGAUAAUUCGUAACGGGUAACAAGUAACAAUAGUAACAAAGGUGCAGCAAGAUGGCCCAAUCCCUUUUGUAGCAAGGGACAAGCCUGGACGAACUCUUAUAUAAGGUAAAGAGCUCCCGAGGACACAUGGGAAUUUCUGUCAAGCUAGUUUUCAUCAUGUUCAUAUGAUUCGCGUUCGCUACUUUGAUAGUUUGAUAUGUGGGUGGACCGGUGCUUGGGUGUUGUCCUUACUUGGAAAAACAUCCCACUUAUGAUUAACCCCUCUCGCAAGCAUCCGGAACUACAAAAUAAGAAUUAAUACAAAGUCUAACCAUAGCAUUAAACUGGUGGAUCCAAAUCAGCCCCUUGCGAAGCAACGCAUAAACUAGGGUUUAAGCUUCUGUCACUCUAGCAACCCAUCAUAUACUUAUUACUUCCCAAUGACUUCCUAUAGGCCCAAAUAAUAGUGAAGUUCCAUGUAGUCGACGUUCACAUAACACCACUAGAGGAAAGACAAUAUACAAUGCCUCAAAAUAUCGAACGAAUACCAAAUUCACAUGACUAAUAGCAAGACUUAUCCCAUGUCCUUAGGAACAAACGUAACUACUCACAAAGCAUAAUUAUGUUCAUGAUCAGAGAGCUAUUGAAUAGUAUUAAGGAUCUGAACAUAUGAUCUUCCACCAAGUAAUCCAACUAGCAUCAACUACAAGGAGUAAUUAACACUACUAGCAACCUUACAAGUACCAAUCGGAGUCGCGAGACGGAGAUUGGGUACAAGAGAUGAACUAGGGUUUGGAGAUGAGAUGGUGCUAAUGGAGAUUUUUGAUGGAGAUGAGUCCCCUCCGAUGAGAGGAGUGUUGGUGAUGACGAUGGCGAUGAUUUCCCCCUCCGAGAGGGAAGUUUCCCCGGCAGGACGACCCUGCCAGAGCUCUAGGUUGGUUCUACUCAAGUUCCGCCUCGUGGCGGCGGCGUCUCUUUUCGAAAGCUCUCCCUUGAUUUUCUGGGACGAAACCCUCUAUAUAGCAGAAGAUGGGAGCCGGAGGGGUAACAGGGGGCCCACGAGCCCCCAGGCGCGCCUAGGGGGUGGGCGCGCAUGGCAGUCUCGUGACCUCCUGGUGGCUCCCCUCCAGUAUUUCUUCCGCCCAGUAUUUUUUAUAUAUUCCAAAAUAAUUCCUCGCUGAUUUUUCGCGGAUUUUGGAUUUGUGCAGAAUAGGUAUCUCAAACUUGCUCCUUUUCCAGCCCAGAAUUCCAGCUGCCGGCAUUCUCCCUCUUCAUGUAAUCCUUAUAAAAUAAGAGAGAAAAGGCAUAAUUAUUGUACCAUAAUGUGUAAUAACAGCCCAUAAUGCGAUAAAUAUCAAUAUAAAAGCAUGAUGCAAAAUGGACGUAUCAGCGAUCAAUUUAGUAGCUAGAGUUCUCAACUAAUUUUUAGUUUUUGAAAAACACACGGAUUUCCCAAAAUACAACACCUAUCACUAAUAGGCUCAAGCUCGUGGCACCACUAGUCCAAACAUUACUCAAAUCAAUACCUCAAAACUAUUGCAAGUUACUACUAUACUUAAAUAGCAACCUCAAUUACCUACUCAUGCAAGACACACAACUCAGUGCAACGAGCCAACUCUCUAAACAAGAUAAGCAUGAUAACUCAAGAGAGUUCCAAAAUAAACCUAAAUAAUAGCUCUUAAAAAUAUACAACAUGAAAACUAAGAGCUAGGCAUGACAGUAGCUACGAAAAGAUAAAGAACACACAAAAAGAUAAGCAUGGAAACCUAUGUUGUGUUAUAGAGUGGAAUGGAGCGUGUUUCUCUCCCAAACAAGGUAGGCUAGGUUCCAAUUUUUUAUGAACAGCAAGCAAAACUAAAACAAACUAAAAAGUAAAGAGGGGGCGCUCCAAGCAUAGCACAAAACAUAUGAAGUGAUAAAAAUAUAGCAUGGAGAUGGACGAACUGAUGAUUGUUGAUAGAGAAGGGGGUGCACGGGGGCAUCACCAAGCUUAGACGCUUGAGUCUCCUUGAUUAUUUCUUGGGGUGCAUGGCGGCAUCCCCAAGCUUGAGCGCUUGACACUCCUUGAUCUUCUUUCAUCAUCUUCCAUCGCAUACUUGAAAACUCCCUUCAUACGAAACUCAACAUAAGCUUAUUAGAGUAGUUAGUACCCAUGAUAAAAUAAUUCAUUACCUACUCGAAAUAAUUAUUUUCAUGAAAAUAUACUGUUUCCCAUGAUUUCCAAAAGGUUUUUGCAAAGUAAAAGCAAGCUUGAGAUUUGCAAAAUGAUGAAAACACAAAAUGUGGCAGAAUCUGUGAAAAACAUAACAUCAGGUAGUAAAUAGCUUUUUUCGGGUACUUCUGCAACUCAAAUAAAAAAACUCAAAACAUAUUCCAGAAAGAAAAUUAUAUAGAGCAUGCUGUCAAAAACAUUCAGAUCAAAAAGAUGAUCUCGUGAUUUUUGGCGAAUAUUUCCGGCAAGCAGACAGAAUCUGUUUCCGUGAAGCAGAUAGAGCUGGCGAAUGUUUCCGUCAAGCAGACAGCAUGUCACAACUUUUAAACUUUCUUGCAAUCGGAGGCUAAAACUUGGCACAAAUCUUGAAAAUAAAGAUGCAAUGAUGUUGCUACAGUAGUAACAAGCAUCAAGACCACUAAAACUAAAAGUAAAAACAAAUUGGGUUGCCUCCCAACAAGCGCUUUCUUUUAUGCCUUUGAGCUAGGCAUGAUGUAAAAAGAUCAAGUAUUAUCAACUCCAUAAGAAUAGCUUGCCCGAAUGACGGACUCAUAAGGUAACUUAAUCUUCUUUCGAGGGAAGUGUACCAUUCCCUUUUAAGGGGAAAUUGGAAUCUAAUGGUCCCCUCUUUCAUGUCAAAGAUAGCACCAAUGGUGCGGAGAAAAGGACGUCCCAAAAUAAUUGGACAUGAGGGAUCACACUCAAUGUCCAUAAUAAGAGAAUCAACGGGCACAUAAUUAUCAUUGACAACAAUAAGAACAUCAUAAUUUCUCCCUAAAGGUUUCUUUCCGGAAGAAUCAACAAGACGAACACUAAAAGAAUAUUGAUCAUAAGGUUUCAAAUCAAGCAUAUCAUACAUUCUUUUGGGCAUAACGGAGGCACUAGCUCCAACAUCACAUAAGGCAAAGCAAGAGAUAUUUUUCAAUGUAAUCUUGACCAUAGGGUCCCAACCACCUUCUAGUUUCCUAGGGAUAGAAGUCUCUAGCUUGAGCUUAUCCUCCCUAGAUUUGAUAAGCGCAUUGGUAAUAUGCUCGGUGAAGGCAAUAUUGAGUGUACUAGUGUGGGGGUCUUCAGCCAUUCUUUGCAAAAAAAAAGUGAUAACUUCGGAAAGACCACAAUUGUCAAAAUCAAUAUCAUUGCUAUUAAGUAGAAUUGUAGUGUCAUACUCUAUAUUUGAUUUGCUCUCUAUUAUAAGAGUUUGGAUGUCUCCCCAAGUUUGGGGACAUUUAGUAGCAACUUCAAACCAAAGAUCAUGUUUCUUCCUGGGGAGACCAUGCCAGGGGCAUAAUUCUCAAUAAUGACUAACAUAGUCACAAGGUAUAUUACUUUUAUAAAUGCCCUCAGUGGCAAUUGGAGCAAUAGAAGAGAAGGGAAAAUCAUUAUAAAUGCCCUGAGUGACUAGUGAAGUCACACAACUUGGUGUUCUCAGUGGAACCCAUAGCAGCAACAACAAGCUAGAACAAAGCAACUAAUUUUUUUGUGGUUUUUGGUAUAAGACACUAAAGAAAAAACUAGAAAGCAAACUAACAAGACUAAAAAGCAAAGGUAAAGGAUAGUGUGCAACUCCCCUAUCUUGAAGACUGGAGUCCCCCGCAAUGGCACGAGAAAACUUUGCUUGAUGACGAGAUGAUGUAUAUACUUCUCGCUCCUUGUUGGUUACCCCAAGUGGAAGGUUGAGAUGUAGUCAGCAACAAGUUGUCCCUUACAGGGAGACUGUAAGGUUUAUCGAACCUGGAGGACUCCUAGGAUCAAAUAGUAGGUGUCCGCUGCUCUGGCGCUACCAGAAGACGUAGACCUGCACACAAACAAAUAACUUUGCUCCCAACGAGUACAAAGAGGUUGUCAAUCUCUCCGGCCUUGUAGUUUGCAAAGGAUCAAAACACAAGCGGGAAUGGUAAUAGUGAUUGCAAUAGAAAAGUAAAUGAAAGCAGUAAAUGAUGGAGGUGUAAGCAAUGGUGGUGAUAUGGACCGGAGUCACAUGAUGUUCACUAGUGAUGUCCCUCUCCCAAUAGACGAUAAACACCUAUGCUUGGGUAAAGAAAUUACAGUUGGGCAAUUGACAGAAUUAUAAACGCACCGCAAUGCUAAUUAUGCUACUUGAUAGUUAGAGGUUCAAUUGUAAUGGGCGGUACGCCAAGACAAGUAGACCGUUUAUUCAUCAACAUCUACUUACUAAUCAUCCACCUUGAGAUAUCUAUCCAGAACAUCUCGCCGGUAUUAAGUUGUGAGCCCCACCCAAAGUGUAAACUCAAAGCAACGGACAACUGCAUUAAUGAACUAUGUGUAAGGUAAACAAUCCUUGCAACUGUGGUCACAAGCACCGUUGUUUUCUCCUUGGUGGCAACAACACAUCCCCUAGUCUCAUGUUUCUGUCACUCAAGCUAGACAUCAAGGGGCAUGAACCCACAAUCAUGCAUAACGCUCCCUCUUGGAGUUACAAUCUACUACUGGGCCAAAGCCAUAAAUAGCAACGAAGAACAUGCAUGAAUCACUAAGGAACAUAAUCUAAAAGGAUAAUCAAAUAUAUAACUCAUAACAAUCUGAAUAUAAUCUCAUAAUCCAUCGGAUCCCAACAAACCGAGCAUAGCAAUAGCAAGAGAAUUACAUAGAUGCCUUGAUCAUGUAGGGCAGCUCACAAGGACUAAUCAUGGAAGCACAAGAUUGGAGAGAAGACAUUACAUAGCUAUUGGUCAUGGACUCAUGGGCCAAGGACGAAUACUCACGACAGGUACGGGAAGCGUCCAUGGUGGUGGAGAAGCUCCCGGAGGUCAAUCCCCCCUCCGGCAGGGUGCCGGGAAGGGGUCUUCUGGUGCUCCCGAUCUCGGAAGCACUGCGGCGGCGGAACGAUGGAGAAAUUCACGAUUUUGGAUCCUCUCCAAGGGUUUCCUCUCGAAGGAGUAAAUAUAGGCCAAAGGAGGGCGUCAGAAGAGGUGGGACCCACCUAGGCGGCAUGUGGGCGCGACCAAGGGCCAGGAUGCGCCAGAAGGUCGCUUGGGCAGGCCCUGGCCCCCCUCUGCCCAUCUUCGGUGAUCUGGAAGCUUCCGGUACGCUGAUUUUUAUAUAUUUUUCUCAGAAUUUUUUGGGCUAUGCAAAAUUGGGCAAAAGCCCCUGCAAAAAAGACAUCAGUAGACAGAAACUGGCACUAGGUGCACUGAUUAGUAGGUUAGUCCAAAUAUGUGUAAAAAGAUAUAAAAGUGUAUCAAAACAUAUAACAAUGUCACCCAAAAUAUCAUGGAACAAGCAGAAAUUACAGAUACGUUUGGGACGUAUCACUGAGCCACAACUACUAUGUUAGCUAUAUGAUCAUGCAAAGCAAUACGACAAUGAAUGCUCAAGUCAAACGGAGGCGGUGGAAAUUGCAUGGCAAUAUAUCUCGGAAUGGCUAUGGAAAGGCCAUAUUAGGUAGGUAUGGUGGUUGUUUUGAGGAAGAUAUAAUAAGGCUAUGUGUGAUAGAGUGUAUCAUAUCACGGGGUUUGGAUGCAUCGGCGAGGUUUGCACCACGUCUCGAGGUGAGAAAGGGCAAUGCACGGUACCGUAGAGGCUAGCAAAUUGCGGAAAGGUAAGAGUGCGUACAAUCCAUGGACUCACAUUAGUCAUAAAGAACUGAUAUACUUAUUGCAAAAGUUUAUUAUCCCUCGAAGCAAAGUACUACUAUGCAUGCUCCUAGGGGGGACCUUCACACAAAGAUAGACAAUCAAGGAUAAAUUGUGCUCCAACUUCCCGGCAUAACGAGAGACUAUACGUGCAUGCUUUAGGAAUCACAAACCUUAACACCAAUAUUCUUACUAACCACAACCGUUUACUAGUACCUCUCUAUAUCGCAAAACUAUUGCAAGGAAUCAAACAUAUCAUAUUCAGUGAUCCGUAAGUUUUAUGUAGGAUUUUAUGACUAACCAUGCAAAUGAACAAUUCCUGUUGACUCUCUAAAUAGAUAUAAAUGAAGCAUGAGAGUUUAAUUCUUUCUACAAAUAUCAUUCUCUAAUAACUAUAAUUGAAGCAAUAGAGCAUUCUACAAAUAAUGGUUUUCUAUGUGAAGAGAAAGACGCAAUCCAAACUUCAAAUGAUAUAAGUGAGGCACAUGAAGCAUUCUAUAAAGCCAUACUAAAAAGAUAUAAAUGAAGUGCAAUGAGCAUUCUAUAAAUCAACCAUGUACUAUCUCAUACCAGCAUGGUGCAUAAAAGAAAAAAAAUGAAAAUUGAAUGCAAAAGACGCUCCAAGAUUUGCACAUAACACAUGAACGAAACAAAGACGAAAACAUAAUGAUACUUGUUAAAGAAAGAUGUGAUGCCUUCCGGGGCAUCCCCAAGCUUAGAUGCUUGAGUCUCCUUAACACCAAGCUUCAGCUCUUGCCUCUCCUCCUUCUCCUCAUAUCGAGGCUUCCUCGAUCUUUGAUCACUUCAUCCACACAAAAUUCAACAGAAAGCUUGGUAAGAUCCGUUAGUAUAAUAAAGCAAAUCGGUACUCUAAGUACGGUUGCAAACCAAUUCAUAUUUUGAUUUUUCAUUGUAUCUACUGUAAUAUAGCUUUUCCAUGGCUGAUACCACCAAUAAAAAUCGAUAGUUUCAUCAAAACAAGCAAAACAAUGCAUCAAAAAACAGAAUCUGUCUUAAACAGGACAAUGUGUAGAAAUCUUUACAUCUACCAUACUUCUGAUACUCUACAAAUUAUGAAACAUUAGGACAAAAUACAAAAUUUGUAUAGAAAUAUCCUGAAAAAAGUUUUAGAACUUUUUUACGCUCCAGUAAAAAAUGAAAAUUCACGCGCUACAGCCAAAGUUUCUGUUUAUGUACCGCACAUACCAACAAGCAAUCUACCCAUCCUAAAGGCAAAUCUUGGCACAUUAUUUUUAUAAUACAAUGUAUUUUUACAAGGGGGUAAUUAUUUUUUUGAGAAUCUUCAUGAAAAAAUCUACAUUGUUUCCAUGAGCAUGAACACAAGUGUUCAAGUUCGACCCUCACUUCACCAAUGCAUCACCUUUCAAUCGCUUCUAUUUUUGUGCAGUUUUAAGUUCCCCUCUAUAUUUUUUUGUUUUAAAACUUUAUAAAAGCACUCAACGGUAUUAAAUGACUCUCUAAAACUUCCGGGUUGUCUCCCUGGCAGCACUUUCUUUAAAACCAUUAAGCUAGGCAUAAAGUGCUCAAGUAAUGGAUCCACCCGGAUCCCAAGGUAUAUCAAAGCCAAUUUUAAUUAGCAAUAAUUUGGCAUUUAGUAGUGAGCACAAAGCAACAUAUAUCAAGCAAUAACGAAUUCUAAAUCUCUUCCUAUGCCUCAGCGUGUCAUACAAGAACAACUCAUGCACAUCAAGUAAAAGCCAAUACAUAGCAUAAGCAGUUUCUUGCAAUUUUAUCGUGUUGGAAACAUAGAGAGGCGGAGAUGUAGUUCCUCUCUCAUAAUAAUUGCAUGUAGGAGCAGAAAGCACAUGCAUAUUAUAUUCAUCAAAAUCAUCAUGUGUAGUGCUAAAAGGCAACCCAUCAAUAUAAUCCUUAACAGGUGCAAACUUCUCCGAUAUAGUGUAGUUUGGAGAAUUCAAAAAGAUAAUAGGACUAUCAUGUGUGGGUGCAAUAGCAACAAUUCCAUUCUUAAUAUAAGUAACAAUAGCAAGUUCAUCUCCAAUAGCAUAAUUCAUAUUGGCAUCUUGGCCACAAGCAUACAAGCAUCAUCACAAAGGGAUAUUUCAAACGAAUCAACGGGAUCGUACCAAUUACCAUAGCAUUCAUCCUUCGAUAAGAACGAAGGGACGUUAAACAAUGUAUGAGUUGAAGAGUUACUCUCAUUAGAAGGUGGGCAUGGGUGAUCAAUCCGCUCUUCCUCCUUUUGUUCUUCACUCUCCUCAUCAUCUUUUUCAUCCAAUGAGCUCACAGUUUCAUCAAUUCCUUCUUCCAUAGACUCCUGCAAAAUAUUAGUCUCUUCUUGGACAACGUAGACUUUCUCAAUAAACGCAUCAAUAUCAGAAUUGCAUUUAUAAUUAUCAUAGCAAUAUUUCAGGAUAGAAAAAAAUUAGGUCUACAAACUGAAUCACAAAAAUCUUCAAACUUUUCAAACAAAGAUUCAAUUUCAUAAGCACCCUUAAAAGCAACAAAAUCUUCUAUUCGUUCCACAUCAUAGUAAUCAUAUAUACCAUUAGCAUAAGAAGCCAAGGUUUCAUUAUCAUUAAAUUUGCAUGAAAAGGGAAGGUGUAGAGCAUUCAUCCUAGAGCAACAAGUAAAAUCAUAUCUCUCCCAUAAAUUCCAAGCAUAUCAAUGCAACAUAUCAAUUUGAUCCCAUAACAGUUAUCCUUUUUGUGUCAAGCGAUAAUCCCUAAAGUAUUCACGUUGAUCCAACGUGUCUCCCGUUAUCAUGUUGAGUGGGGUUUUCUCAGGAUUAUCAAAGUAGUGCAUAAUAUUUUUCACAUAACGAGCAUCGAGGGUUUUAGGAGGUUCCCCAUCUCCAUGAGUAGCAAGUACCACUAUUUUUUUUGGUGUUUCGUGUUCCAUAUCCAUAACUAAAGAUAGAGAACAACUUAGAAGGGAAAUAAGAACUACUUAGUGAUAAAGCAAAAAAGCACACACGAGAAUAUUCACCCCACCCUGUUGCUCCCCGGCAACGGCGCCAGAAAAAGGUCUUGAUAGCCCACAAGUAUAGGGGGUCAAUUGUAGCCUUUCUCGAUAAGUAAGAGUGUCGAACCCAACGAGGAGCUAAAGUCAGAACUAACAUUCCCUCAAGUUCUAUUGACCGCCGAUACAACUCUACGCACGCUUGACGUUUGAUUUACCUAAAAAAGUAUGAAACUAUUUUGCAAGAAUAAAACUACGAGUACUUUGCAAGAAUAAAACAAAGAAUAAAUUGCAAGGUAAUAAAAGUGGAUAGCUUUUGUCAACAAGAAAGUCAUUUGUCCCUAGGCAAUCGAUAACAAGUACCGGUAAUCAUUCUUGCACUUUUAUAUGAGGGAAAGGCAUGAGCUAACAUACUUCCUCUUCUUGGAUCAUAUGCACUUAUGAUUGGAACUCUAGCAUGCAUCCGCAACUACUAAAGACCAUUAAGGUCAUGAAACCCAACCAUAGCAUUAAGUAUCAAGUCCUCUUUACCCCCAUACGCCAUAACCCACUAAUCCGCGUUUAGGGUGUUGUCACCCCCGCAACACCGACAAUAAGCAAACCAUGAACAUAUUGCAACACCCUACAACGGGAGCCCCUCACGUUUGCGCGACACGGAGGGCACCAUGGGACAGCACCAUAAAUAAAAUAUACAAUCAUACCAACCAAGAUCAUGAUUAACCCAUAGGACAAAACGGAUCUACUCAAACAUCAUAGGAUACACUACUGGAAUCAGAGAAUUUGCCAUCUGUUGCUUCUUUGCUAUCUGCUGGCUGAUGGCAAAGAUCCUCUUUGCCAUUAGCUACCAAAAACCAGACGGCAAAGAGUAGACUGAUGGCAAAGAUACUAUUUGCCAUCAGUCAGCUCUUUGUCGUCUGCGAGCUGGCGGCAAAGAGCACGGGGCGACCCAUCCCGCACCCCCUCUCUCCCCCUAACGGCCUCUCUCGUUGUCGUCUGCCUUGUUCCUCUUUGCCGUCGGGGGGCAGACGGCAAAGAGGAUGCGCCCUAACGGUCGUUGACCCCCACCCCCUCACCCCUCUCUUCCCUAACGGUCGGCGCCCCCACCCCCACCUCUCUCCCCUACCGGAUCUCUCUCCCUCUCUCACACCCGAAACCCCCACCGCCGUCGCGCCUUCCUCCUCCCUGCGCCACCACGCUCUCCUCCUCCUUGCGCCCUCCUCCUCCUUGCGCCCUCCUCCUCCUUGCGCCCCCUCCUCCACCAUCGCCCUCCUCCACCACCGCCCCUCCUCCUCCCCGGGACCUCCUCCUCCACCACCGCCGCCGGAGCUCGCCCCUUCUACACCAUCGCCCCCUCCUCCACCAUCGCCCUCUCCUCCACCAUCGCGCCCUCCUCCUCCCCAUGACCCUCCUUCACCACCACGCCGCCCCUCCUCCACCACUACCGGCCCCUUCCUCACAACGCACCGCCUCCUCCCCGCGCCCCUCCUCCUCUACGGUCGUCCUCCCUGUGCUGUCCUCAUCGCCGGCCGCCCCCCUCCGAUGAGUCCUCUUUUUUACUUUUUCGUUUAAUUUGUUAAUUAUGUUAGUUAGGUUAGUUGUUAAUUACCUACUGUUAGUUAGGUUAGUUAGGUUACUUGUUAGUGGUUACCUAUUGUUAAUUAGGUUAGUUAGGUUAGUUGUUAGUUGUUAGUGGUAAUUAGGUUAGUUGUUAGUGGUAAUUACCUAAUGUUAAUUAGGUUUGUUAGGUUAGUUGUUAAUUACCUACUGUUAGUUAGGUUAGUUGUUANNNNNNNNNNNNNNNNNNNNNNNNNNNNNNNNNNNNNNNNNNNNNNNNNNNNNNNNNNNNNNNNNNNNNNNNNNNNNNNNNNNNNNNNNNNNNNNNNNNNNNNNNNNNNNNNNNNNNNNNNNNNNNNNNNNNNNNNNNNNNNNNNNNNNNNNNNNNNNNNNNNNNNNNNNNNNNNNNNNNNNNNNNNNNNNNNNNNNNNNNNNNNNNNNNNNNNNNNNNNNNNNNNNNNNNNNNNNNNNNNNNNNNNNNNNNNNNNNNNNNNNNNNNNNNNNNNNNNNNNNNNNNNNNNNNNNNNNNNNNNNNNNNNNNNNNNNNNNNNNNNNNNNNNNAGUUAGGUUAGUUGUUAGGUUAGUAGUUGCCCGUGUAGAGACCUCCGGCCACCGCCUAUGCUUGCACUAGCCACAACAUUAGGAAACGUCGGUGAGCUUGUCACGCACCUGCCAUGGCUACGACGCCAUCGAGCUCACGGGCUGCAACAACGAUACUGCUGCAACCACCUCCAUGAGGUCGGUGCAGAAACAUUACUGUUGCGACCACCCCCUUGAGGCACCGGUGAUAUUCCACUCACCACUGAGGAUACUACAACAGCUCGACGAGGCUCCACUUGAGCGUGUUUGCAUGAGAUGAGGCAAAGGAGGUUGAAGAAUUCCCACGCCGGCCACCAUCGCAUCUAUACCCACAAGAACGCCGAUGGAUCUCAAAGGUUCAACAAUGGGUGGCUUGCAGUAGACCAUGGGGCGGAUGCCAAAACAGAUCGCAGCAGUAGUUGUCGUCAUCACUGGAAGCGCCAUGAGUGGGGUGGUUUGCAUCAGCUCGUGCGUGUGUGGUGAGUUGAUCUGCAUCACUCGAGCAUGGGCGCUGACCGGCCUGGGCUACAGCAAGGCUAUCUUUCUCGCACAAAUGGUGUGACGAGCUCUGCUCUUUUAUGGUGAGAAAGGAACAGAAGAAUGGGUGGAUCAUGGGGGAACAAUCAGAGAAGGAUGAGUGGUUGGAGAGAGAGGAGCAAAGGAUAAAGGUUUUUUGAGGGAUGAGCUACGUGGGGUUAGGUACGAGCUGACCAGGACGUGAGACAAGGACGCGUGGCAUGCCAGCAACGCGGCUGAUUUCUUCCAGUAAUCAACCGACUAAUUUUAAGAGUUUUCCUAGUAGAAGGGNAAGAAGAAGAAGAAGAAGUAGAAGAAGAAGAAAAGGAAGGAAUAAGAAGAAGAAGAAUAAAAGGAAGAAGAGGAAAAAAUGAAGAUGAAGAAGAAGAAAACGAAACCCUCACACCACGACACCCGACACGAUGCCCCGAAACCCCGACACGACAUCUCGACGACACCCCGACACGAAAUAUUAUUUUAUGGAACCCUAGAUGACAUCUAUAUAGGUCAUACAUUUGUGUUAGGUCAUAUAUUUUUCGAUUUUAUUAGUGAACACAAAAUAUUUGUGUUGAUCGAGUGGAUUUACAUGUGAUAGUUAUCUCGUCGCUGUGAGCUCUGCUGUGCGAAGACCUCCCCGUGCGUUCUACGAGCUCCGCCCCUACAUUUGUGGGCGAGUACAAAUGUCAUCUCCUCCUUGCCCCUUCAUUUUCUGUGGGUCGGUCUUCGGAUGAAACUUGCUAGAUAUAGGUAAUUAAAUUAAUUUAUUAGUAUGCGUGACCAGUAUGCGUCUCCCGUUCGAAAGGGUUACAGUUAUAAAUAUGCAUGCAUUUGCAUAUAUUUAUAACCGUGAUUCUUCCGAAUUGUCCAACGUUAUCCAUGGACAACCCGAGUAUGUGUAGAUUGGGUUCAUUUUCCCAUAUGCUUUGUUCCGGAUCCGAUGCAUAAUUUCGUCAGUGCCUCCAUGUUGUUCUUCGGAUACACAUCCUCUCUCUUUAUUGCGGAGACAUGUAUCAGGAGAACAGCAGGGAGGUGGCGCCGAAAUUUUGUGUUGGAUCCAGAGCAGAGCAUGGGAAAAUGAACCCAAUCUACACAUACUCGGGUGGGAUUAGGACAUAUUUUUACCUAUUAGCGUGUAGGUUGCAUGGACAUAAUAAAACUGGUGGACUUGAUUUGAAGCAGGAGUGCCGCGGAAAGUAUGUGAAGAAGGAGCAGUACAUGAAGGUAAUCACCUAUUAUUAAGGCCUUGCAUGUAGUUUUCUUGAUUUGAUUCAUAGGCGUAGCGCUCAAAAUUCUUUCUAAUAACUUAUAGGUGCCCCCGAGAUGGUGUACAGAUAAGAUGAAUUGUUGGGAAGCGUUGGUGGAUGAGUGGUGCACAUGAAACUGGCGAGCCGUCCAUGACAAUGUGAAGGAUCGGCGUAGCCAAAUGGUUGGUGUGCCACACCAUCAAGGCAGCGCCAACUUACUUCAGUUCGGACGAAACUGGGUAUGUGGUUUGCUUCAUGAUUCAUGCUAUUCAUUCUUCAUGCUAGCUUGAGCCCCUUACUAAUACUUUGUUCCUCUCUUUUAGGCGCAUCACAAUAAGACGGAGAUGCCAGAGUUGUACGACCUUUAUGGCAUGGCCCAUACUGCCUCCUACAAGAAGGCGAAAGCAUUCUCUGAGUCUGACAUGGAUGAUCCAAAGAACUUCACCAACAUCUCAUCCCACCACAAGCUCAUGAAAUACAGGGACGUGGGGAAGGCUUGGAAAGCAGAGGACUUUAACCCGAGCCAAGAACCUUUGGAUCCAGAGCUGGUGAUGAUAUCUGGUGGCGGGAGGCCCCAUGGCUCGAUAGCCAUUGGAAAUGGGAUAAUACAUUGUCCACUCACUCUCCCGGAGAUCAAGGCGCGCCAAUCGAGCUCCUCUCUUGAGAUAACGCCUCGUCCACGGCCAGUCGAUCUUGCCAUCGAGGUUAGUUGUAUGAACUCAGAAAACUUUCAUCCAUUUCAUUGUGUGUGUGUGGCCAUCGAUCAUUAAUGUGGUAACGAGGAAUGGUGUUGCAGGUUGCUCUUCAAAAAGAGAGAGCGGCAAACGAGGUUGCUCUUGCGAAAGAGAGAUUGGCAAGCCAGGCUGCUCUUCAAGCUGCUCUUGAGGAGAGGGACCGGACCACGACUAGGUUGAUUGAGGAGGAGAGGGACCGGAAUGAGGCGGGUCACCUGGCCAGGUAUGAGCUUAUUGUGGUAAGUUUCUUUUUAAUAUUAGCCAAAUCAUUUGUGUAAUGUUUGUUUCAUUACUAACUAAUACGACCGACUCUUGAAAACCAAAUGUGCAGGCUAUGUGCGAGAAGACCGGUCAAGCGCCUCCGUCGAUGCCCGUCUUCUCUGUGAUUGGCACGGUGAGUUUCAUUUUAAUGGUCAUUAUAAAGUAGUAUUAAAAACUGAGCAUCAUCAUGCUAACUCAGACAUUGCAAAAUAUCUUUUCUGCAGUUAAAGUCCCGAGCGGCAUCGCAUGACCCUUCUUCAUCGCAUGGUGCUUCUCCUCCUUGAUGACCACGACGGUAAGUUUUCUCUAGUUCAAUUAUGACAUAAUUAGCUAGUUUAGCUCGAAAAAGACAUACUUAGCUAAUUUAGCUCCAAAAUGACAUACAUAGCUAGUUUAGCUCCAAGAAGAGGACAAGAGGAGAAGAAAGAGGAAAAAUGAAAACAAGAAGGAAGAAUAAGAAGAAGAGAAGAAGAAGAGAGGAAGAAGGAGAAGGAGGAGAAGAAGGAGAGCCCUCCUCCUUCUCCUUCUUCUUCUCCUUCUUCUUCUCUCCUCCUUCUCCUACUUCUUCUACUUCUUAUUCUCUUCUUGCAUCUUCUCUUUCUUCUUCUACGUAGCUUAUUUCCCCAACAAAGACAUACUUAGCUAACUAUCCUCCAAAAUGACAUAAUUAGUUUAGUUAGGUAAAAAAAUCAUAAGAACCUUGGUUAGCUCAUAACUUAAAUAAUUUAGCUCUAAAAUGACAUAAUAAGCUCAAAAUGGCAUAAAAACCUUGGUUAGCUCAUGAAUAUUAUAUACUUAGCUUGUUUUCCUCUAAAAUGACAUAAUUAGCCCAUUUAGUUCCAAAAAUACAUGCUUAGCUAAUUUAGUUCCAAGAACAGGAGAAGAGGAGAAAUGAAAAGAGGUAAGAAGAAGAAGAAGAAGAAGAAGAGAAUAAGAAGGAGAAGAAGAAGGAGAAGGAGGAAAAGAAGGAUAAGGAGUCAUACUUCUACUCCUUCUUCUCCUUCUUCUUCUCCUUCUUCUCCUUCUUCUUCUCCUCCUGUUUCUUCUCCUCUUUCAUAUUUUUCUUACCUUAUUUUCCCCAACAAUGACAUAAUUAGCUCAUUUAUCUUCAAAAAUACAUAUUUAGCUAAUUUAUCUCCAAGAAGAGGACAAGAGGAGAAGAAAGAGGAAAAUAAAAAGAAGGAAGAAGAAGAAGAAGAGAAGAAGAAGGAGAAGGAGCCCUCCUUCUCCUUCUUAUUCUCUCCUCCUUCUUCUUCUCAUUCUUCUUCUCUUAUUAUUUUCUUCUUAUUCUUCUCCUCCUCCUUCUCCUUCUCCUCCUCCUCCUCCUCCUCCUCCUUCUUCUUCUACUUCUUCUUCUUCUUCUUCUUCUUCUUCUCAUUCUUCUUCUCUUCUUGCUUGUUCUCUUUCUUCUUCUACGUAGCUUAUUUUCCCCAACAAAGACAUACUUAGCUAAUUAUCCUACAAAAUGACAUAAUUAGCUAAGUUAGGUCAAAUCAUCAUAAGAACCUUGGUUAGCUCAUAACUUAGCUAAUUUAGCUCCAAAAUGACAUAAUAAGCUCAAAAUGGCAUAAGAACCUUGGUUAGCUCAUGAAUAUUAUAUACUUAGCUUGUUUUCCUCUAAAAUGACAUAAUUAGCCCAUUUAGCUCCAAAAAGACAUACUUAGCUAAUUUAGCUCCAAGAAGAUGAGAAGAGGAGAAAUGAAAAGAAGGAAGAAGAAGAAGAAGAAGAAGAGAAGAAGAAGAGAAGAAGAAGGAGAAGAAGAAGGAGAAGGAGGAGAAGAAGGAGAAGGAGUCCUACUUCUCCUCCUUAUUCUCCUUCUUCUUCUCCUUCUUGUUCUUCUCCUCCUCUUUCUUCUCCUCUUUCAUAUUAUCCUUACCUUAUUUUCCCCAACAAUGACAUAAUUAGCCAAUUUAUCUCCAAAAAGACAUACUUAGCUAAUUUAGCUCCAAGUAGAGGACAAGAGGAGAAGAGAGAGAAAAAAUGAAAAGAAGGAAGAAGAAGAGGAAGAAGAAGAGAAGAAGAAGAGAAGAAGAAGGAGAAGGAGUAGAAGAAGGAGAAGGAGCCCUCCUUCUUCUCCUUCUUCUUCGCUCCUCCUUCUUCUCCUUCUUAUUCUCCUGUUUCUUCUCUUCUUCUUUUCUUCUUCUCCUCCUCCUCCUCCUUCUCCUUCUCCUUCUCCUUCUCCUUCUCCUUCUCCUCCUCCCCCCCUCCUUCUUCUUCUUCUUUGUUUUAUUUUCCUUCUUCUUCUCUUCUUGCUUCUUAUAUUUCCUCUUCUACGUAGCUUAUUUUCCCCAACAAAGACAUACUUAUCUAAUUAUCCUCCAAAAUGACAUAAUUAGCUUAGUUAGGUGAAAACAUCAUAAGAACCUUGGUUACCUUGUAACUUAGCUAAUUUAGCUCCAAAAUGACAUAAUAACCUCAAAAUGGCAUAAGAACCUUGGUUAGCUCAUGAAUGUUAUAUACUUAGCUUGUUUUCCUCUAAAAUCACAUAAUUAGCCCAUUUAGCUCCAAAAAUACAUACUUAGCUAAUUUAGCUCCAAGAAGAGGAGAAGAGGAGAAAUGAAAAGAAGGAAGAAGAAGAAGAAGAAGAAGAGAAGAAGAAGAGAAGAAGAAGGAUAAUAAGAAGGAGAAGGAGGAGAAGAAGGAGAAGGAGUCCUACUUCUCCUCCUUCUUCUCCUGACUCCUUCUCCUUCUUCUCCUCCUUCUCCUUCUUCUUAUCCUUAUUCUUCUUCUCCUCCUCUUUCUUUUCCUCUUUCAUAUUCUCCCUACCUUAUUUUCCCCAACAACGACAUAAUUAGCCCAUUUAGCUCCAAAAAGACAUACUUAGCUAAUUUAGCUCCAAGAAGAGGACAAGAGGAGAAGAAAGAGGAAAAAUGAAAAGAAGGAAGAAAAAAAAGAGAAGAAGAAGAGAAGAAGAAGGAGAAGGAUGAGAAGAAGGAGAAGGAGCCCUCCUUCUUCUCAUUGUUGUUCUCUCCUCCUUCUUCUCCUUCUUCUUCUCCUUCUCCUUCUCUUCUUAUUUUCUUCUUCUUCUCCUCAUCCUCCUCCUCCUCCUUCUUCUUUUUCUUCUCAUUCUUCUUCCCUUCUUGCUUCUUCUCUUUCUUCUUCUACGUAGCUUAUUUUCCCCAACAAAGACAUACUUAGCUAAUUAUCCUCCAAAAUGACAUAAUUAGCUUAGUUAGGUAAAAACAUCAUAAGAACCUUGGUUAGCUCAUAACUUAGCUAAUUUAGCUCCAAAAUGACAUAAUAAGAUCAAAAUGGCAUAAGAACCUUGGUUAGAUCAUGAAUAUUAUAUACUUAGCUUCUUUUCCUCUAAAAUGACAUAAUUAGCCCAUUCAGCUCCAAAAAGACAUACUUAGCUAAUUUAGCUCCAAGAAGAGGAGAAUAGGAGAAAUGAAAAGAAGGAAGAAGAAGAAGAAGAAGAAGAAGAAGAGAAGAAGAAGAGAAGAAGAAGGAGAAGAAGAAGGAUAAGGAGGAGAAGGAGGAGGAGAAGUUCUGGAGAAGGAGGAGGAGAAGUAGGAACUUCUUCUCCUCCUUCUCCUUCUUCUCCUUCUUCUUCUUUUCUUCUUCUUCUUCUCCUCCUCUAUCUUAUCCUCUUUCAUAUUCUCCUUACCUUAUUUUCCCCAACAAUGACAUAAUUAGCCCAUUUAGCUCCUAAAAGACAUAAUAAGCUCAAAAUGGCAUAAGAACCUUGGUUAGGUCAUGAAUAUUAUAUACUUAGCUUAUUUUCCUCUAAAAUGACAUAAUUAUCUUAGUUAGGUCAAAAAUGGCGUAAGAACCUUUGCUACCUCAUAAAUGUGAGAUAGUUAGCUUAUUUCCAUCCAAAUUGACAUAAUUAGCUUAGUUAGGUCAAUAAUGGCAUAAUAACCUUGGUUAGCUCAAAAGGUCAUAUACUUAGCUUAUUUUCCUCCACAGUGAAAUAAUAAGCUCAAAAAUGUCAUAUGUUGUUGUUCUUCUUCUUCUCACUUUCUUAUUCCCAUUUUACAGAUUGGAUGUACUACAUGCAUAUAAUCUGGCAUUGAUGGAGCGCUUUAGUUCUAGUUUUCAUUUGAGUUGAUGAACAAUGUGGAACUAUAUGUAUAUGUAUACAUGGAUGAAUAGUAUAUGUGGAACUAUAUGUAUAUGUAUAUAUAUGGAUGAAACUUUGUAUAUGUUGGUUCUUUCGAUAUAUGGGAUGUACAUUGAUGAACAAAUGGCAUUGAUGAACUUUAUAUGUAUAUCAUAUAUGUGUUGUGACCUAUAUAUCAUAUAUGUGAUAUGAAUUAUAUAUAUAUGUGAUGUGAAAUAACAUAAAAAACAAAACUCUGACAAUAUGGGCUCUUUGUCGUCUGCCAGCUGGCAGCAGACGGCAAAGGUGCCACGUGGCACCCAGCUGUCCAACCUGGGGCAACAGCAGCUGACCCAUAUAGGCUCUUUGCCAUCCUCUACCCUACGCUGGCAGACGACACAGAGCCUGAGGGAGGCAGACGACACAGAGCCUGAGGGAGGCAGACGACACAUAAUAUGAGGGAGGCAGACAGCAAAGAGUAUGAGCAACCCGCCGGGCCAACUGAGGGCUGGCCCAUAUAGGCAGACGGCAAAGCUAAGGGAGCGAGGCAGACGACAAAGAUGAUGAGGGAGGCAGACGACAAAGCCUCCGUUAGCCCUAACGGAGGCGUUGCCUGUCGGCUGCCGUCUAAAGAUGUUUGUCGUCUGCUCGGUACCAAAUGCUGACGGCAAAGGCCAUUGUCGUCCGCUUUUGGCAGACAAACGGCAAAGAAGGUGCUAUGCCAUCGAAAGUAGUCAUAGGAACUUUGCCGACAGGAGGCAGACGGCAAAGACCUUUACCAUCGGUGGAACACCUCUUUGCCAUCUGUUAUGGCAGACGACAAAGUGUCUGAUUCCUGUAGUGAUAGCAAAAUAUCAUUGGGAAAUAAUAUAUGGAGUUGAGCACCAUGUUUAAGUAGAGAUUACAGCGGGGAGAAGGGGUGUUAUGCCUCUGCAUAGAGGGGGAGAAAGUUUGUGUUGACGGCAGCAAGGUUGUUGAUGUAGAUCGCUGUCACGAUCCUAGCCCCGGCGGCACUCCGAUGCCACCGGGAGAGAGGGGGAGUGAGCCCCCUCCUUCUUAUCCUUCCUUAGCCUCCCCCUAGAUGGGAGGAGAGUUCCCCCUCUCAUCCAUGGCCUCCAUGGUGGCGGAGGGGCGGGAGCCCCUCUGAGAUUGGAUAUCCCUCUUUGUUCUCUUCUGUUUCGUGCUUCUUCUCCGUCCUAGAUUCUGGCGUUUCACUGUUUCUUAUAUUCGCGGAGAUCUGUAACUCCGAUUGCGCUGAAAUUUUUACACGAUUUUUCCCAUAAAUUAUCUUUCUUGCGGUAGAAGAAGGGCUCCAACCGACAUCCGAGGAGGGCACCAGACACCAGGGAGCGCCUGGGGCCUGGGGCAUGCCCUGGUGGGUUGUGGGCUUUGUGGGACCCCGUUUGCAUUGAUUCCACCUCUCAAAAAUCACAUAAAUUCCAAAAUAAUUCUCCAUAAAUUUUUAUCAUGUUUGGACUUCGUUUGAUAUGGAUCUUCUGUGAUACAAAAACAUGCAAAUAGAACAUGAACUGGCAUUAGGCACUAAAUCAAUAGGUUAAUCGCAUAAAUCAUAUAAAAAGCUGGCCAAAAUUAUGUGAAAGUUGUAUAAUAUUGGCAUGAAAAAAUCAAAAAUUAUAGAUACAACGGAGACAUGUCAGUAUACUAUGGAACGAUCGUAGAGAUUUGGGAUCUUGACUAUGUGGAAGUGAUGGUCGCAUUAUUCAAGUGAAGAUGGCUCCCUCUUGGUCAGGUAAAUGUUGAUGCUUCGUGGACCCCUUGUGUGUGGAGCCUCCGUGGACUCUCGCAGCCGAUACCCUUCGUGGGUUGAAGUCUCCACUAACAUGGACGUACGAUAGUGCCACCUAUCGGAACCAUGCCAAAAAUCACUGUGUUCAUCUUUGCGUUUGAUCUUCCUAAACUCUACUCCUUACUUACAUGUGCAAUGUAUUUACUUUCGGCUGCCAUAUUUGUUGACUAGCAUGUGUAGGGUGCACUAGACUUGUUAGAUUUGCUAAAAUCUACCAACCAUUAAAAUUGGAAAAGGCUAGGAUUUUAAUUCAUGCAAGUAGUCUAUUCACCCCUCCCCUCUAGACACCCGUUCUAUCGAUCCAACACUAUGAAACUUUUUGACGUUUUUUCUAAUCAAAAGGCGACUUGGAGGCUUUGUAAGGAGACCACACGACAGAGGAGGAUACCGGAAGACAACAUGGCACGUCUAGGGGUAUGCAUGCCAUGAUACCUUGUGGGGCCCUCGUGGCUCCGCCUGACCUAAUUCCACCUUCAUAAAUUCUCUAAAAUCGGGAAACCAACAAAGAGCCACCCGGAACACUUUUCCACCGCCACAAGUUUGUGUUCCGAUUGGAGGCCAUCUAGAGACCUUUUACAAUGCCCUGUUGGAGGGGAAAUUGAUCAUCGAGGCCAUCUAGAGACCUUUUACAAUGCCCUGCUGGAGGGGAAAUUGAUCACAGAGGCCAUCUACAUCAACCUUGUCGCCUCCACGAUGAUAUGUGAGUAUUCCACCACAUACCUACGGGUCUAUAGCUAGUACCUAGAUGGUUUCUUCUCCCUCUUUGAUCUUCAAUACAAAGUUCACCGCAAUUCCCGCGGUCAUCGACUCUAUGUAAUCCUCUUUUGCGGUGUGUUUGUUGGGAUCUGUUGAACUAUGACUUUAUGGUCAGAUUAUUCAUGAAUAUUAAUUGAGUCUUAUCUGAAAUAUUUUAUGCAUGAUUAUUAUACCUUCGUAUUUCUAUCCAAUAUAUCAGUUUAGUUUGCCCAACUAGAAUGCUUUAUCUUAAGUGGGAGUGGUGCGUUGUGAUGGGUUCAAUCUUGUGUUGCUCAAUCCCAGUGACAGAAAGGGACACGAAACAUAUUGCAUUGCUGCCAUUAAGGAUAAAACGAUGGGGUCUAAACAUAUUGCUUGUCUCACUUUGUCAACAUCAUGUCAUCUUGCUCCAAGCAUUAGUCUAUUUCAUACUUAAUACUCUAUAUGCAUGUAGGAUAGCGGUCGAUGAGAGGAGUAAUAAUAGUAGAUGCAGACAGGAGUGAGUCUACUUGUUUAUGGACGUGAUGCCUAUAUACAUGAUCAUUGCCUUGAAUAAAAUGUCAUAACUAUGCACUAUUCUGUCAACUGCCCAACGACAAUUUGUUUAGCCACCGCAUUAUAUGUUCAAGAAAGAAUCCUCUAGCAAAAACUAUGGCCCUUGGUUCUAGUUAAAUAUAUUUAAUAAAACUCACUUUACCUUGCUGCAAUUUAUUUACUUUUAUAUUUAUCCUAUCUAUCUAUCAAUAUUUAAUCCUUGCAAGUAACUAGUUCAAGGGGCUUGACAACCCUCUUGCCCAUGUUGGGAGCAAGUGUUUGGUUAUGUGUGUGUAGGUGCUACUAAAAAGGUUUGUGUGAUUCUCCUGUUGGUUCGAUAACCUUGGUUCUCAAUGAGGGAAAUACUUAUCUCUGAUGCGUUGCAUCUCCUCUCCUCUUUAGGAAAAACCCAACACAGUUUACAAGUAGCAGUACCGAGUUCAAGGGCCUUGACAACCCUCUUGCCCGUGUUGGGUGCAAGUGUUUGGUUUUGUGUGUGUAGGUGUUGACGAUGAGAGUUUGCUUGACUCUCCUACUAGUUCGAUAACCUUGGUUUUCACUAAGGUAAGCACUUAUCUCUACUAUAUUGCUUCACCCUUCCUCUUCGGGAAAAAUCCAACGCAACUCACAAGUAGCAAUAAACUAUGUGACUGGAAUCUUAUUCUCACUUGGAGGGCCACUACACUUGAGGAGGAAAAUCAUAUUCUGAAAGGAAUUAACGCCAAGAAUGUGUGAGCACCACCACCGAAGAAGGAGACUUGAGUACACUGUUAGGGAACUACCCUUGGCUUGUUCCAAACAUGGGGUAGGUGCCCCAACAUCGUAUCGCCAUCACUUUGAUCAUUACUAUAUGUCUUACUUCGAUCCUUAGUGUUUAGUGAUUUGGAAAAAGUUUGAAUUAGUUUUCGAGUGCUUGAUUUAUGAUCGUUCUAUGUAUGUAAUCGUGUGUGGGAGUUAUAUAAUAAAGAGUAGUAUGAGUAUCUUUCGCUUCACUUCGGCUACUUCAGUUUUAGCAAAAGUAAUGAUAGAUCGUAUGCUAAUACCAUGGGGAGCAAUGACUUUACUAAAAAGAAGAGUGAUUGAUAAAUUUUGUUGGAAGGUAACAAACAUAACAUUGGUCGUUGGGGCAACUCAUGAAAGAAUAAUAAGGGAAGAAGAUCUUCACAUAUAGAUAUGUUAUCUUGGACAUAUUAUAUGAUUGUGAACUCCCAUUGGUUAUUUUUAAACUUGAUCAAAUAGUUGAUGUUGGACAAGGAAAACAACUUAACGGGUUAUGUUUGCCUAUAUUUGCAUAGAAGAUAUACUGUCAUGGAUCCUCUAACGUGCGAUACUUGUUAUAGUAUAUGUGGACUGCACUAGCCCUUUCCAUCAGUUCGGACUUUUGGUUGCGUUGGCUAGUGCAUGAAUCUUAUCAUGGUAUUGGAGCUAAGGUCUGGCUUUCGCAAUUUAUUAAAAACUCAAAAUUGAUACUCAAGUCCUGGCUUUCGCAAUUUAUUAAAAAUCUGAUCAAGUCCUAGCUAUCGCAAUUUAUUAAAAAUUGAUGGUAGCCCCCCUUUGUGUCCACGUAGAGGCCUCUUGAGUCAUACGUGAGUUUCGUGCACCGUCGCUCUCUUUCGGUUGCACAUGUUGACUUGCUUUCCCCGUCACACGUGAGAGGGGGUGUUAGAGUAUAUGUGGAUUGCACUAGCACUUUCCAUCAGUUCAGACUUUUGGUUCCGUUGGCUAGUGCAUGAAGCUUAUCAAUGCUUGCUUAUAAUCUUUGCUAGCCAAAAUUUCGUACUAAGUGCAGAUACUACUUAUGCACCCAAACACCCUUAAACUCAGUCUCUUGUCAUGAGAGUCCACCAUAUCUACCUACGAAUUGAAUAAGAUCCUUCAAGUAAGUUAUCAUCGGUGUAAAGUGCUACGGUGACAGAAAUCCUUCUGUUGCCUCUUGAGCUUGCGUCGGUUAUUUCCCUUGAAGAGGAAAGGGUGGUGUAGCACAGGAGCAGUAAGUAUUUCCCUCAGUUUGAGAACCAAGGUAUCAAUCCAGUAGGAGAAUCACGCCAAGUCCAGAGUACCUGCGCAAACACAAAAGAGCUUGCACCCAACGCUAUAAAGGGGUUGUCAAUCCCUUCAAGAUUGAUUGUAAAGUGAGAUAUGAAGAUUGUGCAACAUGUUCAUGAACAAGUUGCUUAAAAUUCAUAAUAUCAUUACGGAGAGAGAUAAUCAUUGCCGGCGGAAAAUACUUGGAUAUGUAAGCAUCUUUGCACUUAUUCCAAGAAUCAAUACUAUUUUUGGGCAAAGACGAAAACCAAGUUUUUGCUCGAUCUCGCAACAAGAAAAGAAAAAGCUUCAAUUUAAUCACAUCAUUAUCCACAUAUUUAUUCUUUUGCAUAUCACAAAGCUCAAUGAAGGUAUUAAUAUGGGAUGCGCCAUCUUCACUAGGAAGGCCGGAGAAUCGCUCUUUCAUAACAAGAUUCAGCAAAGCAACAUUGAUUUCGUAUGAUUCCGCACUAGUGGCGGGAGCAAUCGGAGUACUAAUAAAAUCAUUAUUAUUAGUAUUCGAGAAGUCACAAAGUUUGGUGUUUUCAGUCAUGGUGACUUCAGCAAGCAAGCAAGCACACAAGCAAACAGAAAGCAAGCGAGAGAAAAAGGGCAAACGAAAAAGGCAAAUAUUUUUGUAAUUUUUUGUUUUUCAGAAGUGGGGGAGAGGAAAAUGAGAGGAAAAAAAAGUAAAUGCAAGAGAUGAGUUUGCGACACUUACUUGGAUGAUUUCUUGACUUGAUCCUCCCCGACAACGACGUUAGAAAUUGGCACGUUGACGGGAGAGUAUUCUUGACUUGAUCCUCCCCGGCAACGGCGCCAGAAAAUCUUCUGCUACGGCGACAGAAAUCCUUCUGUUGCCUCUUGAGUUUGCGUCGGUUUUUCCCUUGAAGAGGAAAGGGUGGUCCAGCACAGGAGCAGUAUUUCCCUCAGUUUGAGAACCAAGGUAUCAAUCCAGCACGAGAAUCGCACCAAGUCCAGAGUACGUGCGCAAACACAAAAGAGCUUGCACCCAACUCUAUAAAGGGGUUGUCAAUCCCUUCAAGAUUGAUUGCAAAGUGAGAUCUGAAGGCAGAAAGUGCAACAAAGUAAAAUUGUAAGGCUGAAAAUAUGGUGUGAAGUAGACCCAGGGGCCAUAGUGUUCACUAGAGGCUUCUCUCAAAAUAGCAAAUAAUACGGUGGGUGAACAAAUUACUGUCGAGCAAUUGAUAGAACCGCGCAAAGUCAUGACGAUAUCUAAGGCAAUGAUCAUACAUAUAGGCAUCACGUCCGAGACAAGUAGACCGNNNNNNNNNNNNNNNNNNNNNNNNNNNNNNNNNNNNNNNNNNNNNNNNNNNNNNNNNNNNNNNNNNNNNNNNNNNNNNNNNNNNNNNNNNNNNNNNNNNNNNNNNNNNNNNNNNNNNNNNNNNNNNNNNNNNNNNNNNNNNNNNNNNNNNNNNNNNNNNNNNNNNNNNNNNNNNNNNNNNNNNNNNNNNNNNNNNNNNNNNNNNNNNNNNNNNNNNNNNNNNNNNNNNNNNNNNNNNNNNNNNNNNNNNNNNNNNNNNNNNNNNNNNNNNNNNNNNNNNNNNNNNNNNNNNNNNNNNNNNNNNNNNNNNNNNNNNNNNNNNNNNNNNNNNNNNNNNNNNNNNNNNNNNNNNNNNNNNNNNNNNNNNNNNNNNNNNNNNNNNNNNNNNNNNNNNNNNNNNNNNNNNNNNNNNNNNNNNNNNNNNNNNNNNNNNNNNNNNNNNNNNNNNNNNNNNNNNNNNNNNNNNNNNNNNNNNNNNNNNNNNNNNNNNNNNNNNNNNNNNNNNNNNNNNNNNNNNNNNNNNNNNNNNNNNNNNNNNNNNNNNNNNNNNNNNNNNNNNNNNNNNNNNNNNNNNNNNNNNNNNNNNNNNNNNNNNNNNNNNNNNNNNNNNNNNNNNNNNNNNNNNNNNNNNNNNNNNNNNNNNNNNNNNNNNNNNNNNNNNNNNNNNNNNNNNNNNNNNNNNNNNNNNNNNNNNNNNNNNNNNNNNNNNNNNNNNNNNNNNNNNNNNNNNNNNNNNNNNNNNNNNNNNNNNNNNNNNNNNNNNNNNNNNNNNNNNNNNNNNNNNNNNNNNNNNNNNNNNNNNNNNNNNNNNNNNNNNNNNNNNNNNNNNNNNNNNNNNNNNNNNNNNNNNNNNNNNNNNNNNNNNNNNNNNNNNNNNNNNNNNNNNNNNNNNNNNNNNNNNNNNNNNNNNNNNNNNNNNNNNNNNNNNNNNNNNNNNNNNNNNNNNNNNNNNNNNNNNNNNNNNNNNNNNNNNNNNNNNACAAAAACAGAAUCUGUCAAAAACAGACCAAUCUGUAGCAAUCUGUAUACUUAGUAUACUUCUGGUACCUAAACAAUUCUGAAAAAUUAUGACUACUUGGGAAAUGGGCAUAUCAACCAGAAGCAAAAGAAAUCAACUCAAAAGAUCUUUCUGAAUAAAAAUGAAAAAUAAUCUCGUGAGCGACAAAUUUCUGUCUUUUUCAGCACGAUCAAACAACCAUCACCAAGACUAGUCAUAAAGGUUUUGCUUGGCUCAAACACAAAAAGAAACACAAAAUACACAAUCAUAACAGAAUUAUGAUGGUGUGGACGCAACAAAACAGAAAUAAAAAAGAUAAAUUCAUUGGGUUGCCUCCCAACAAGCGCUAUUGUUUAACGCCCUUAGCUAGGCAUAAUGUGAUAGAAUCACGUAUCGUCGUCUUUGGUGCUCAAACCAUAAGUAGACCUCAUCAUAGAUUCAUAAGGCAAUAUUAUUUUCUUUCUAGGAAAAUGUUCCAUGACCUUCUUCAAAGGAAAUUGAAAUCUAAUAUUCCCUUCCUUCAUAUCGAUGAUAGCACCGAUAGUCCUUAGGAAAGGUCUACCAAGAAUGAUAGGGCAUGUAGGAUUGCAAUCAGUGUCAAGCACAAUGAAAUCCAUGGGUACAUAGUUCCUAUUUGCAAUAAUAAGAACAUCAUUUAUCCUUCCCAUGGGUUUCUUGACAGUAGAAUCCGCAAGAUGCAAAUUAAGAGAACACUCCUCAAUCUCAUUAAAACCCAGAACAUCACAUAAAGACUUUGGAAUCGCGGAAACACUAGCACCCAAAUCACACAAAGCAUUGCAUUCAUAGUUUUUGAUUUUGAUUUUGAUAGCAGGUUCCCACUCAUCAUGAAGCUUUCUAGGGAUAGAAACUUCCAAUUCAAGUUUCUCUUCAAGAGAUUUUAUCAUAGCAUCGACGAUAUGAUCGGUAAAGGCCUUGUUUUGGCUAUAAGCGCGUGGAGAGUUUAGCAUGGAUUGCAUCAAGCAAAUGCAUUCAAUCAAGGAGCAACUAUCAUAAUUGAAUUCCUUGAAAUCCAAAGUAGUAGUUUCAUUACUACUCAAGGUGUUAAUAUCUUCUACUCCACUUUCAAUGCUUUUAGCAUCAAGAUAGAUGGACUCCGAAUCAUUGGGACGUUUUUCAAUCAAAGUGGAUUCAUAUCCAGCCCCAUCAUCAUUAGGUUUGACACAAGAAAACAAAGAUUCAAUGGGAGUCACACCAAGCACUUUAAGAUCUUCGUGAUUCUUAUCACGAGAACACGCCCUUUUAAGCCAUUCAUGUCUAGCAUGAAUUUGGGCGAUUUUUUCUUUGCUUUCACUCAUGGAAACAUGCAUAGAUUUCAAAGUUUCAUCCAUAUUGAUCUUAGGAGGAGCACAUUGAUAACCCACAACUGUAGGGGAUCGCAACAUUUUUCAAGGGUAGAGUAUUCAACCCAAAUUUGUUGGUUCGCCAAAGGGGAAGCGAAAGAAUAUUCUCAAGUAUUAGCAGCUGAGCUUGUCAGAUUCAACCACACCUGAAAGAUUAGUGUCUGCAAGCAAAGCAUCAGUAACAAAGUAGUAUGAUAGCAACGGUGCCAGAAACAGAUCUGUUGACGGCAGACUAUUCCUAACUGUUGUAUCAAUGGCGCUAGUGUUGCACGUGGACGGGGAACUAUUCUUCCCCGCAAACUGUGAUGAAAAAGGAUCUUGCAACAAGUAACAACGAAGUAGCAAGGAACAACAGUAGCAACAACAGUAGAGUAACAGCAGUAGCAACAGUAGUAGCAAAGUGGCCCAAUCCCUUUUGUAGCAAGGGACAAGCCUGGACAAAGUAACAUAGCAAGGACGAGUAGUAAAAGACUCAUAGGUAGUGGAUCGGUGAUGGAUGAGUAUGACGGAUGUGAUUCAUCAUGUAACAGCUAUAACACGGAGAGAUAUGUAACUAGCUCCCGUUUGUCAAUCUAAUGUAGGCAUGUAUUCCGUAUGUAGUCAUACGUGCUUAAGGAAAAGAACUUGCAUGACAUCUAUUGUCCAUCCCUCCCGUGGCAGCGGGGUCCUAAUGGAAACUACGGGAUAUUAAGGUUCUCCUUUUAAUAAAGAACCGGACCAACGCAUUAACACGUGGUUAAUACAUGAACUCCUCAUACUAUGGUCAUCCCCGGGAGUGGUUCCGGCUAUUGUCACUCCGGGUUGCCGGGUCAUAACACAUAGUAGGUGACUACAACUUGCGAGAUAGGAUCUAAAACACACAUAUAUUGGCGACAACAUAAUAGGUUCAUAUCUGAAAUCAUGGCACUCGGGCCCUAGUGACAAGAAUUAAGCAUGGCAAAGUAGUAGCAACAUCAAUCUCAGAACAUAGUGGAUACUAGGGAUCAAUCCCCGUCAAAACUACCUCGAUUACAUGAUAGAUCUCAUCCAACUCAUCACCAUCUAGCAAGCCUGCGAUGAGAUUACUCACGAACGAUGAAGAGCAUCAUGGAAUUGGCGAUGGAGGAAGGUUGAUGAUGACGAUGGUGACGAUUUCCCCUCUCCGGAGCCCAAAACGGACUCCAGAUCUGCCCUCGAGAUGAAGAACAGGAGGUGGCGGCGCCUCCGUAUCAUAAAACGCGAUGAAACCUUCUCUUUGAUUUUUUUUCGGGCGAGACGGAAGAUAUAGAGCUGAGUUUGGGGGCGAUGGUGCCACGUGGGCCCCACAAGCCCUCACGGCGCGGCCUAGGGGGUGGCCGCGGCCCAUGGGCUUGUGGCCCACUAGCACGCCCCCUCCGGUGGAUCUUUGUGCAGGUAUUUUUCUUUUAUUCCAAAAAAAUUCUACGUAAAUUUUCAGGACAUUCCGAGAACUUUUGUUUCUGCACAAAAACAACACCAUGGCAAUUCUAGUGAAAACAACGUUAGUCUGGGUUAGUUCCAUUCAAAUCAUGUAAAUUAUAGUCCAAAACAAGGGCAAAAGAGUUCGGAAAAGUAGAUACGAUGGAGACGUAUCAACUCCCCCAAGCUUAAAGCCUUGCUUGUCCUCAAGCAAUUCAGUUGACAAACUGAAAGAGACAAAAGAAAAACUUUGACAAACUCUGUUUGAUCUUGUUGUUGCAACUAUGUCUAACUCAUAACCAGAAUUUCAGCAAGAUCACAAGCGAACCACAUAAGCAAAUGACAUCUAGGUCUCAUGGUAAACUCAUAUCAAUGGCAUAAUCAACUAGCGAGCAAAUAAUAAUAAGUCUCAAACAUCAACACUUCAAUCAAAACAACAUGAAGCAGUACGAAUAGAUGGUAUCUCGCUAGCUCUUUCUGAGACCGCAAAACAUAAAUGCAGAGCACCUUCAAAGACCAAGGGCUGACUAAGCAUUGUAAUUCAAGGCAAUGAAGAUCCAGUCACAGUCAUACUCAACACAGUUAAAAGCAAAGCAUAAAAAUGACAGAGGUUCUCUGUAAUUGGUGCUUUUAUAAGAGGAGGAUGACUCAAAAUGAACAUAAAUAGACAUGCCCUUCGCAAAGGGAAGCAUUGAUUUGCAAAGGUGCCAGAGCUCAAGCUUUGAAAACAGAGAUAAUAAUUUUGGGUGGCAUGCUUCAUUGUCAAAGCAAUGACUAAGAGUUCUCAACAUCUUCCACGCUACACAUGCUAUAGGCGGUUCCCAAACAGAAAAGUAAAGUUUUGACUCCCCCACCACCAAUCAAUCACACUCCACGGCUAGCCGAAUCCUCGGGUACCGUCCAUACCAACAUCAAUCCUGGGGGAGUUUUGCUUGCAAUUAUCUUUUCGAUUUGAGCAUGGAACUGGGAAUUCCAAUUACCGCCCCCUUUCUCGUGAAUGAUAGUGAAUAAACACAUAUCGAGGAUAACACGCCUAGCAUGGAAGAUACCAAUAGCCCCCUGUCACCACAUGAGCGGUUCGGGCAUGCAAAACAGAUUAUUUCUUGAAGGUUUAGAGAGUGGCACAUGCAAAUUUACUUGGAACGGCAGGUAGAUACCGCAUAUAGGUAUGUAUGCUGGACUCAUAUGGAACAACUUUGGGUUUAUGGAGGUGGAUGCACAAGUAGUAUUCCCGCUUAGUACAAGUGAAGGCUAGCAAAAGACUAGGAAGCGACCAACUAGAGAGCGACAACAGUCAUCAAAAUGCAUUGAGAUUAACUAACAUUGAGUGCAAGCAUGAGUAGGACAUAAAUCACCAUGAACAUGAACAUCAUAGAGGCUAUGUUGAUUUUGUUUCAACUACAUGCGUAAACAUGCGCCAAGUCAAGCGACUUGAAUCAUUCAAAGGAGGAUACCAUCCUAUCAUACUACAUCACAGUCAUCUCAACUUUCAUGUGGGUAUCCAAGACAAACCAUUAUAAGCUCCUAGCUUAGUAAGCAUGGCAUAAGCAACUAUGAUCUCUAAGUUGUCAUUGCAAACAUGUUUCCCUCACAACAAAGCUGAAUCAGGCAUGAUGAGCUAGUCAUAUUUACAAAAACAAAAUAGAUCGAGUUCAUACCAGCUUUUCCAGGCUCAGUCGCUUCAUCAUAUAUCGUGUCACACCCUGUUUUUCACCCCAAGUUUUCUGUGUUGCAAAAAUCAGAGAUUGUUAAAACUUUUUCAAAUAUGUUGUAAGUGCAAUGACAGCCCUUGUUUGAGUGUAUGCUUACUUGUUUGAUGACUCAAACCCAUGAAAAACUUAUUAUUUUGCUCUCUUCAAAAACCCUUUUUCCUUUAUAUCAAGUUCACCUUCAUCAUGUUGGGAUACACUACUAACUCAUGAAGCCAAGUGGCACUUCCAACUAAAGUUGGUGAUCUGAUCCAAAUAUUAUUUUCAUUCAUUAAAAACAUUAAUUGGUGAUCUAAAAUAUUAUUUUCCUAAUUUAUAUCUAUGUCUAUUUCUAAGGCCAGUAAUGAUAUUUCCACAAGGAAAAUUACUUUUCUGCCUUGGAAAAUUCUGAGUAAAUUCAUGGAAGCUCAGAAGGACAUAUAUUUUCCAUAUAUAAGAUUUUCAACCCUAUUUUAUAUUAAUAUUAUUUGAGUAAAACCCUGAAAACCAUUUCUGUCUGUUUUAGCUUUUUGAGAUGUUUCCAAAGGAAAUUAUCUCAGUAAAUUCCCAUAAAAUUACAGGAGCCCUCCCAAACCAUAUUAGGUGCUCACCUAAAAUCUCACCUUGAUCCAGGGUGGGGAAGUGCACUUAAAGAGCCCAAAACCCUCUCUGUCCAGAGUAGAGUUGGAACAACUCUACAUUGCAAAGUUUCUCCUAUGGAGCUGAAACUUUGCAGAGGUGUUUAACACCCCAAAUGAGGACUCCACACCAAGGAUGGGAUUUGUGAGACCCUGUUUGGCCACACUUCCUUUGUAAAGGACAGUACUGGUCAUUUUGAGACAUUUUCAAGUUUACAAAGCCAAACUUGUUCAAUGGAGCUCAGAUUUGGUGGAACCCCAUGUUUUUACCCCAAGGCCAAACCUGUUAAGUUUCAUUUACAAUGGUGGAGUGGAAGCACCCCAAGUCACUGUCGAACACCUACUACAAGGAAGGUAAAAACCUUCCUAGCCACUGUUUUACCCAAUGUCAAUGCCCCAAACUUGGUGGGUUAGAGCACCAGAACACCCUGAACACCCAGUCAAUCAGCCCCUCCCCAACUCCAAGCACUAGUGACAAGAACUCCAAUUUGAGCUGCAGGGCAGUACUGGCAACACUAGUGUUCCUUGCUCCCUUGACCAGCUCGAGCUCCCACUAAACCACAACGGCUAGGCACACUCCCAGCAACACUCAGGACAUGGAGGACACGUCCCAAGUGCCCGAGAGCGAGCCAGCAUGCCGUGGCAUGCCAAAACUGCGCUCUGGGCGCGCUGCAGAGAGCCACCCGCAAGGGGCCGACGCUCCGGGCGGUCCCAGCCUCCCCAGUUAUGUCCAAGCGCUCCCCCGACAACCAUUCAAUGCAAAGCUACCCCAGGUACCCUCUCCCCCUCGCGCAAGAGCUCAGGCGACGCGUGCCCGUGCGCGCCCGACGCGGCCGAGCAUGCACGGUCGCUGCAGCUCGUCCCCACUCGCUUUCCCUUUGCGGCCAUUGCACCAGGAGGCCCUAAACCACGUCCCGAACCCGUGGUUUCGCGGCCAGCACCUCACUGUGCUUGCACGCGUGCCACGGUGAGUCACCGGCGCGCCCGAGUCGGGUCACCGUCGUUGGCCUAUAAAUAGGUCCCCCGACACUCCAACACCCUGCAAGCAGCUUCAGCACAACCAGUAGACACUCCCUAGCCGCCCAAUCGAUCUCGCAGAGCCCCGAUGCUCGAGAUCGACCAAGGCCCCUCCGCCUCGGAGCUCCGGUCGAUCUCCGGCUACACGUCGGCUCCUGCGCUGCCCGACCUCUCAUUACACUCCCCUUGACACCAGGAACGUUUCCCCUAACUCUCCCGAGCGAAUCCAUACCCCUAGCCCCUAGUUCAACACCAACCCGAAACCCUUCCGCCACGAGCACCUCGUCGCCGGCGACCCCGACCACCUCCGGUGACGUCCCGACCACGAGCAGGUAGGCGGAGGCACGAGGAACCCGUUCCCGUUCCUAGCUAGGCCUGAGGACAACGGCAGCCUCGCCGGCGUCCAUCUCCACCUCUCUGGCUGGAGGUAGGAGAAGGACCCAACAGGUGGAGCCCACCUGUCGGUGUCCUGGGGCAGCCAGCGCGCGCAGCCGCUGACGCUGACCCCAGGGGCCCGCAGGUCAGGUUUGAACCUGGCCCGCGCGCGCCUGGUGGCCAGGCCUGCUGGCUGGGCCGACUGGAUCCAACCCCCUGGCCUUUUUAUUUUGUUUUCAUCUAGCAAACUAAAUGAUUUUUAUAAAAAGAUUUAGCCAGUAGAAAAAUGUAAUUCUUCCACCAGUAUUUUUCUAAAAAUGAGUAGUAUUUGAUUCUGUAAUAGUUGACAUUUAUCAAAAACAGAAACUAUUUUGGUAUAAUAAAAUGAUAUUAAAAAGCACUUGUUUGCUUCUGUUUGCUUUUAAAUAAAUAUGCUUAGCUAAUAAAACAAGAGGAAACAUUUUUCAAAAUAAUAUCCUGAAUUUAUUCAAGCCUUGCAACAUUUUUAAAAGCACUUUGUGAUCUGUUUUAGUGAGAGCUAGUAUUUGUUUAUUCCUUUCUCGAUGGUAGAGUUACCAAGUGACGGAGGAUCCGGAGCGGAAGACCUCGAAGACCCCGGAUACCUAGCUGACCAAGGCAAGCAACCCUUUUGCCAUGACUUAAGUAAACAAAAUGAUGCAUGCUAGUAUAGCAAGUAUUUUCCCGUUGCAUGUGAUCACAGUGCCGGUUCAUCAUUGUGGUGAUGGUACCGGAGGCUUCUUCGAAGCACUUGCAUGUUGACAAUGAUAUUCACAUGGCUCCUCGGAGAACAAACAUGAUGAGCUGACCCUACCAUCUACGAGGAUCAUGCUACUGUCAUGUUGACUAGUAAAGUAGAAUCACUGCAUUGAGCUUGACCCUACCCCGUGAGGGUCAUGAUAUUAUCAUGUUGACAAGUAAUGUUAAGGCAUAUUAUCUCAAGCAUAAUGUUGAGUUAAAUAAAGAGUUUAUGAAAACCCCGUCGGGUGCCACUAAUGCCCGAGGGUGAUGAUGAGUUGGUGAUCACUUUUGGUGAAGUGAUGCACCGGUGAUUUUGGUGUGAGUAAGAUUUCGGAAAUGGAUUAGAUUUAUGAUGUGUCGACCGUCCCAACCUUACCAGUACGACCACGAUACCCCUUUAUGGGGCGGGGCUUUGUUGAUUACUCUGGUCGGUGCUAGCAAAGAGCCACAUUACUAGUGGCGGGAGUGAUCGGUGUCACUCUCGUGAUGGGGCCGUGCCAGGUAGGACGACUCUGCCAUUAUUAUGAGUUCCAGGCACACCGUUGGUCCCUGCAUGGUUGAUACAAUCCAGAGUCGGUGCUCGUAAGACGUACAACAUGUGGGCUGGGUACCAAUCGAGUGGACCUCUUUGUCUAGUAUCGUCAGGGGAAAGAUGAUGAUUGGGUACUUACCUUGGGUAUAUGUGAUAUACCGCGAGUCGUGGAUGACACGGAAGUAUUCCGUUUCUCGUGGGUCCAGCGUACUACCUCUGCAGAGUGUAAACUAUUCGAAUAGCCGUGUCCACGGUCAAGGACAGUUGGGUGGUGCUGCUUAAACUACGUCCUGAGUUUCCGCAUAAACCAAGUGUGUGUGCGUGGUGUUAAAAAGGUGUUGUUAUAAUCAUGAUAAUCACAAUAAUAUGAUCAAGUUCGGUGACUUGACAUAUAGGGUAAACCCGGAUGGUUUAGCCCUCAUUAAUAACUUGAGGAUAUGACAAGUCCGAUGACUUGGCAUAUAGGGUGAACCCGGUGUGUUCAACCCUUGACAGAUAUGUCAAUAUCUGUAACCUGUUCUUCAAAAGUAGUUCUUUAACUUCUUGCACAUACUUGAUCAUGCCACCACAUUGCAUUCCACUAAAGAUAACUGUUACUGUUAUUCCUUACCAUAUAUAUAUAUAUCAUGGGCUGUUUGCGAGUACAUUCAAAGUACUCAUUGGCUUGCCACUAGUUAUGUUAUUGACCAGACAUGGAAGGACCAGAGUUUGGCGAUGAGUACGCCGUCGGAGACGGACCCACGAUCUAGGACGCUUCCAAGUCAGAAUGUUUGUCGGUGUAGGCUUGAUGGCAUGGGAACCGCUUAGCCCUUACGAGUUUUCGCUACUCGAUGUAUCCGUUUAAUUUGGCCUUAGGCCUUGCUCUUGAACCCGACCUUCUGGUCGUUUGAUGUAAUAAUUCGGUACUUGGAUGUAAGACUCUAUUAUUCAGUAUCUGUGUUCAGUGAACAUUGAUCCUUGGGGUCACUGGGCACGGCGAACUCGACUUGCUAGUCGGGGUCCCCACAUAUCGUCAUUAUUGCCUUUCACUUGCACGACCGAAUGUUGUGAACAAUAAUAAGCCUUCUUGUGCAUUGGACUAAAUCUGGAAUCUGCAGGCAAACACAAAGGAGAAGACAAAGUAAUAUGGCUCUUUGAAAGCUAAACAGGUAUGCAUGCGAGAGCCACUAAACAUUGUAACCAAUAUCUUCUACCUUGACCCAAAGAAAAAGAAAACUAUUUACACGGGAAAGCUCCCAACAAGCAAAAGAAGAAAAAGAAAAUCUUUUGGGGUUUUAUCAAACUAGACAGACACACAAAAAGAAAACGAGAAAAAGAAAAUAAACUAGCAUGGAUGAUACAGUGACAAAGUGUGAACACCGGCUAACAAAGUGAAAGCAUAAGCAAGAAUGUAAAGUCGGUGAGAACACGUACUCCCCCAAGCUUAGGCUUUUGGCCUAAGUUGGUCUACUCCCAAGGAGGGAAAUAACCAUCUCCGGGAUACUCCGGAGUGGACUGAGGAUGCCACUGCUGUGUGAGCUCCUCUGGCUCCCACUGAUAAACUAGCGUCUGGUACUCGACUGGUGGCUCGGGCACGGGCACCUAUGGUGGGGAUAAGCCCCAAUAUGCAUAGAUGUCCGAGGGCAUAAUGACGUACCUACAUGCAUGAAGAUUGAACAAAGAAGGAGCAGGAAAAGUAAUAGUCUCACGAGUACCCUGACUAAAUACCAGGUUAUAAAUCAUCCUUCUAUUUAUAUCUCUAUCAAGAAAGUCAUGGCGAACCAUGCUAUCGUAAUCUAGAUAUCUCUCGGGAAGAAGAACCUCUUCUUCCUCCUCCAGCCUAAUGGGUAUCUCAAAGUGUCUCGCAAGACGGGUAGCAUAGAUACCUCCAUAGACAACACCUUUAGAACGGUUCAGGUUCCACCGUUGAGCUACUAUAGCGCCCAAGCUAUAAGUUUUAUCGUUAUAAAGGGCUUCGUGCAAGACCACAAGAUCUGGCGAACUAAGUGACCCAGCUUUCCCACGGCCAAUCAAACAUUUUCCCACAAAAAGUGAGAAGUACCGAAGCACGGGAAAACGAAUGCUAGCAGCUCUAGCGCAAGACACUCCUCUCUCCUCUCCUACAACAAUAGUACCGAUGAAAGCUUCCAAGUCCCGUGGACGAGGUUCAUGAAUAUCCCCAACGUAAGGUAAUUUGCAAACAUUGCAAAAAUCCUGGAGUGACAUGCGCUGGGGGAUAUCAUAAAGUUUGAACUCAACCAUACGAGGAUUCUUCCUCGGAUAGAAGUUAAAGCUUUGUACGAAGAUAUUAGUGAGGAGGAGGUAUUGCGGACACUUAUCUUCAACGAAGGCGGUAAGGCCUACGUUUUCCACCAAGUGAUAAAAGUCCUCAUAAAUUCCAGCGGCGCGUAAGAACACGUCGCUUGGCCACUCACAUGCUCGAACUUCUGCGACUCGAGGGAUCAGAUACUUGGUCUUCUUCUCACUCCCAUCAUCCUUGGGGUCACGGCUUGACGAGCCUCUUUAGAACCUCCUCAUCUUUCCUUUCCCUAUCUCUGAAAAUUUCUGAAAUUUUUAGUGAUUCUAAGGAAAGGUGAAUAAGGCCCAACUAAACUCAUAGCAACUACUCCCACAAGUGCCUAGAGGCCAUAUUACGCAUCAAAACUACUUGGGACUAGCUAGAAUUAGCAUGCAAAGCUCAAGAACAUGGUCACCAAUGCAACAAAAAUACGCAAAGUAUAAGGCACCAGAGCAAAAACUAAUUGGACCAAUGGAGGAGUCACUUACCAAGGAGUAAUUUCCCCAAAACAGUUUUGAAGAAUGGUGAUUUGAGCAAAGAGAUCGACAAUCCCAGCAAGAGGAGCAAGAACACGGGUUUGAGCUGCGAAACGAUUUUUUCUGGAUGUAGGAGAAGGAGAUAAGAGCAAGAAUGAGUGGAGGGGGUGCCUGUGGGCCCCACAAGCCUGGGUGGCGUGGCCAGGGGGUGCCCGCGCCCCUAGGGCUUGUGGCCCACUGGUGUGCCCCCCAGACAAGCUCUUUGUCUCAGAAUUUUUCAAAAAUUCCAGAAAAAAUCAUACUUGAUUUUCAGGACGUUUCAAGAACUUUUAUUUUCGGGGUACUUUCCUACCGGACGCUAAAACAGAAAAUAGGGAAAACUAAACUAAACCUAUCAUCUUUCUUCUAAGUAACCUAAAGUGAAAGCUUGGAACAGAGGUUUGUGACUCCUUGAUUCAUCCAUCUCAUGGUCAUCGAAAGAAAUCCGUCAAUGGGGUUGAUCAAAUCCCCUCGACAAAACUUUCUCGAAUCGCAAAAGAGAAUGGAGAAUUUUCGAACAGUCACUAGGUCACCUCAAUGGUGAUGUGUAUCUCCCCAACAAGCAAAUCAUACUUCAUCUUGACACGAGGAAUAGGGCAUUCAAAGCUCCCAAUAAGAAUCGAUGAAGUUUUUCGAUAGCAUUGAUGUAAUGUACUCAAUAUUGUUUCUUCGGAAAGUGCACCGUAUGCUCAUUACCAUUGACAUGGAAAGUGACAUUGCCUUUGUUGCCAUCUAUAACAGCCCCUGCAGUGUUUAAAAAGGGUAUUCCGAGGAUGACAGCCAUGGCAUCGUCCUCAGGAAUAUCCAAGAUAACAAAGUUUGUUAAGAUGGUGACGUUAGCAACCACAACAGGCACAUCCUCGCAAAUGCCGAUAGGGAAAGCAGUUGAUUUGUCGGCCAUUUGCAGAGAGAUUUCAGUGGGUGUCAACUUAUCUAGUUCAAGUCUACGAUAAAGAUAGAGAGGCAUAACACUAACACCGGCUCCAAGAUCGCAUAAAGCAGUUCUAACGUAGUUGCCUUUAAUGGAGCAAGGUAUAGUGGGCACACCGGGAUCACCUAGUUUCUUAGGAGUUCCACCCUUGAAGGUAUAAUUAGCAAGCAUGGUGGAAAUCUCAACCUCGGGUAUCCUCCUCUUAUUAGUCACAAUAUCUUUCAUGUACUUAGCAUACGGAGACAUCUUGAGCAUAUCUGUCAAACGCAUUUGCAAAAAGACAUGUCUGAUCAUUUCAACAAAUCACUCAAAAUCCUCAUCAUCCUUUUUCUUGGAUGGUUUGGGAGGAAAGGGCAUAGGUUUCUGAACCCAUGGUUCCCUUUCUUUACCGUGCUUCCUAGGAGCGAAGUCAUUCUUAUCAUAUCUUCUAUUCUUAGGUUGUGGGUUAUCAAGAUCAACAGGUUCAAUCUCCACAUCCUUAUCAUUGCUAGGUUGAGCAUCAUCAUGAACAUCACUAUUGAUAUUAUCAUUAGGUUCAUGUUCAUCACCAGAUUGUGUUUCAGCAUCAGAGAUGGAGACAUCGUUUGGACUCUCAGGUGUAGCAGCAACAGGGUUGCUAGCGUGCAGGUUCCUAUCAUCUUUAUUCUUCUUUCUAGGAUGACUAGGUGCAUUAGUGCUAACUCCUUGAGAAUCUUGUUCAACUCUCUUCGGAUGACCCUAAGGAUACAGAGGUUCCUGGGUCAUUCUACCGCCUCUAGUGACGACUCUGACAGAAUUGUCAUUCAACUCAUUGAGCAAGUCAUUUUGAGCUUUAAGUACUUGUUCUACUUGAGUAGUAACCAUAGAGGCAUGUUUACUCAAGAGCUUAAGAUCAUUGACAUUUCUGUCCACACAAGCACUUAAAUGACUAAGCAUACGAGCAUUCUUUUCCAAUUGUCUGCUAACAUAAUCAUUGAAACUCUGUUGUUUGGCAACAAAGUUAUCAAAUUCAUCCAGGCAUAGGCUAGCAGGUUUAUCAAAAGGAAUAUCACUCUCAUCAAACCUACGCAGAGAAUUUACUUCUACUACCUGUAUCGGGUUAUCGAGACCAUGGAUCUCUUCGAUAGGUGGUAGAUUUUUGACAUCUUCAGAUUUAAUGCCUUUCUCUCGCAUAUAUUUCUUGGCUUCUUGCAUAUCUUCAGGACCGAGGAAUAGAAUACCUCUUUUCUUCGGAGUUGGCUUAGGAGGUGGUUCGGGAAUAGUCCAAGCAUUCUCAUUGCACAAGAUGUUAUUCAAUAGAAUCUUAGCUUGUUCUACGAUUCGUUCCCUAAAAACACAACCAGCACAACUAUCUAGGUGGUCUUUGGAAGUAUCGAUAAGUCCAUUAUAGAAGAUAUCAAGUAUUUCAUUCUUCUCAAGAGGGCGAUCAGGCAAAGCAUUCAGCAGAUGGAAGAGCCUCCCCCUAGCUUGUGGGAGACUCUCUUCCUCAGCUUGAGUAAAGUUGUAUAUUUCCCGCAAGGCAGCUUGCUUCUUAUGGGCAGGGAAAUAUUUUUCAGAGAAGUAGUAGACCAUAUCCUGGGGGCUACGCACACAACUAGGAGCAAGAGAAGUGAACCAAGUCUUAGCAUCAUCCUUUAGCGAGAAAGGAAACAACUUGAGGAUAUAGUAGUGGCGGAUCUUUUCCUCACUAGUGAAUAGGGUGGCUAUAUCGUGCAGUUUGGUAAGAUGAGCUACAACCGUUUCAGACUCAUAACCAUGAAAAGGAUCAGAUUCGACUAGAGUGAUUAACCCACGGUCGACAGAGAAUUCAUAAUCCUUAUCGGUCACAAAGAUAGGCAAAGUAGCAAACUUCGGGUCGUAUUUCAUCCUAGCGUCCAGAGAUUUUUCUUUCCACUUGCGCAAUAAUUUCUCAACAUCAUAGCUAUCCUUACACGCAAGAACGUCCUCAGCUAUCUCUCCCUCCAUAGCAUAGCGCGUAUCAGGCAUAACAGGCAAUUCAGGCAUAGUAGCAGGUUCUACUUCAAUAGUAUCAGCAGUUUCAGAAGUAUCAUCACAUCUAGCAGCAACUCUAGCAAUUUGUGCAUUAAGGAAUACACCAAGUGGCAAAGCAGUAUCAAGCAUAGCAUCAUCAUGCAUAGUAUCAAGCAUAGCAUCAUCAGGCAUAGUAUCAAGCAUAGCAUCAUCAGGCAUAGUAUCAAGCAUAGCAUCAUGGGCAUCAGAAGUAGCAUCAUCAAGCACAGGUGACAUAUCAAGAUUUCUAGCAGAAGGCGAAGUCACAAACUUACUCAAAACUGAAGGUGAAUCAAGUGCAGAGCUAGAUGGUAGUUCCUUACCUCUCCUCGUAGUGGAAGGCAAGAUUUUAGUUCUUGGAUCUUUCAGAUUCCUCAUAGUGACCAGCAGACGUAAAUCCCAAAGUGACUCAGAGAAUAUAGUUGUGCCUCCCCGGCAACGGCGCCAGAAAAAGGUCUUGAUAACCCACAAAUGUAGGGGAUCGCAACAGUUUUCGAGGGUAGAGUAUUCAACCCAAAUUUGUUGGUUCUCCAAAGGGGAAGCGAAAGAAUAUUCUCAAGUAUUAGCAGCUAAGUUUGUCAGAUUCAACCACACCUGAAAUAUUAGUGUCUGCAAGCAAAGUAUCAGUAGCAAAGUAGUAUGAUAGCAACGGUGCCAAAAACAGAUAUGUUGACGGCAGACUAUUCCUAACUGUUGUAUCAAUGGCGCCAAUGUUGCAUGUGGACGGGGAACUAUUCUUCCCUGCCAACGGUGACGAAAAAGGAUCUUGCGACAAGUAACAGCGAAGUAGCAAGGAACAACAGUAGUAGCAGCAGCAGAGUCACAACAGUAGCAACAGUAGUAGCGAAAUGGCCCAAUCCCUUUUGUAGCAAGGGACAAGCCUGGACAAAGUAACGUAGCAAGGACCAGUAGUAAAAGACUCGUAGGUAGUGGAUCGGUGAUAGAUGAGUAUGACGGAUGUGAUUCAUCAUGUAACAGUUAUAACACGGAGAGAUAUGUAACUAGCUCCCGUUCGUCAAUCUAAUGUAGGCAUGUAUUCCGUAUGUAGUCAUACGUGCUUAGGGAAAAAAACUUGCAUGACAUCUAUUGUCCAUCCCUCCCAUGGCAGUGGGGUCCUAAUGGAAACUACGUGAUAUUAAGGUUCUCCUUUUAAUAAAGAACCGGACCAACGCAUUAACACGUGGUGAAUACAUGAACUCCUCAGACUAUGGUCAUCUCCGGGAGUGGUUCCGGCUAUUGUCACUCCGGGGUUGCCGGGUCAUAACACAUAGUAGGUGACUACAACUUGCAAGAUAGGAUCUAAAACACACAUAUAUUGGCAACAACAUAAUAUGUUCAGAUCUGAAAUCAUGGCACUCGGGCCCUAGUGACAAGCAUUAAGCAUGGCAAAGUAGUAGCAACAUCAAUCUCAGAACAUAGUGGAUACUAGGGAUCAAUCCCCGUCAAAACUAACUCGAUUACAUGAUAGAUCUCAUCCAACUCAUCACCGUCCAGCAAGCCUACGAUGAGAUUACUCACGAACGAUGAAGAGCAUCAUGGAAUUGGCGAUGGAGGAAGGUUGAUGAUGACAAUGGCGACGAUUUCCCCUCUCCGGAGCCCAAAACGGACUCCAGAUCUGUCCUCCAGAUUUAGAACAGGAGGUGGCGGCACCUCCGUAUUGUAAAAUGUGAUGAAACCUUCUCUCUGAUUUUUUUUCCCGGGCGGUACGGAAGAUAUAGAGCCGAGUUUGGGGGCGGUGGUGCCACGUGGGCCCCACAAGCCCUCACGACGCGGCCUAGGGGGUGGCCGCGGCCCAGGGGCUUGUGGCCCACUGGCACGCCCCCUCCGGUGGAUCUUUGCGCAGGUAUUUUUCUUUUAUUCUAGAAAAAUUCUUCGUAAAUUUUUAGGACAUUCCGAGAACUUAUAUUUCUGCACAAAAACAACACCAUGGCAAUUCUGCUGAAAACAUCAUUAGUCUUGGUUAGUUCCAUUCAAAUCAUGCAAAUUAGAGUCCAAAACAAGGGCAAAAGAGUUCAGAAAAGUAGAUACGACGGAGACGUAUCACACAUCUAACUUUCAAAGCAUCAAUAUCACUAGACAUUCUAUCAACGCUCCUAGCCAAAUCGUCAAUUUUGAGUAGUUUUUCCUCUAUGGACGCAUUGAAAAUCUUUUGCGAGUUGAUAAACUCUUUGAUAUUACUCUCUAGAUCAGAGGGUAAUCUAUUGUAAUUUCCAUGAGUAUUGUUGUAGGAGUUGCCAAAGUUAUUAGAGGGGUUACUAGGAAAAGGCCUAGGAACAUAGUUUCCUCUAAAAGCAUUGUUGUUGCCAAAAUUAUUCCUACCAACAAAAUUAACGUCCAAGCUAGCGUUGCUACUCUCAAUCAAGGAAGACAAGGGCAUGUCAGUAGGGUCUAAAGGAGCACUUCUACUAACAACCAAAUUCAUUAACUCGUCCAUCUUAGCACUCAACGAGUUAAUUUAUUCUAUAGCGUGUACCUUCUUACUAGUAGGUGAACUUUUAGUGUGCCACUGAGAGUAGUUCGUCAUGAUAUUGUCUAGGAGUUUUGUAGCUUCUCCUAACGUGAUUUCCAUGAACGUUCCACCUGAGGUGGAGUCCAAGAUAUUUCUAGAAGCGAAAUUCAAGCCAACGUAAAAGAUUUGUAUAAUCAUCCAAAGACUCAAGCUAUGAGCUGGACAAUUUCUAAUCAUCAAUUUCAUUCUCUCCCAAGAUUGUGCAACAUGUUCAUGAUCAAGUUGCUUAAAAUUCAUAAUAUCAUUACGGAGAGAGAUAAUCUUAGCCGUCGGAAAAUACUUGGAUAUGUAAGCAUCUUUGCACUUAUUCCAAGAAUCAAUACUAUUUUUGGGCAAAGACAAAAGCCAAGUUUUUGCUCGAUCUCGCAACGAGAAAGGAAAAAGCUUCAAUUUAAUCACAUCAUUAUCCACAUCUUUCUUCUUUUGCAUAUCGCAAAGCUCAAUGAAGGUAUUAAGAUGGGAUGCGACAUCUUCGCUAGGAAGGCCGGAGAAUUGCUCUUUCAUAACAAGAUUCAGCAAAGCAGCAUUGAUUUCGUAUGAUUCCGCACUAGUGGCGGGAGCAAUCGGAGUACUAAUAAAAUCAUUAUUAUUAGUAUUCGAGAAGUCACAAAGUUUGGUGUUUUCAGUCAUGGUGACUUCAGCAAGCAAGCAAGCAAGCACACAAGCGAACAGAAAGCAAGCGAGAAAAAAAGGGCAAACGAAAAAGGCAAAUAUUUUUGUAAUUUUUUGUUUUUCAGAAGUGGGGGAGAGGAAAAUGAGAGGCAAAAAAAAGUAAAUGCAAGAGAUGAGUUUGCGACACUUACUUGGAUGAGUUCUUGACUUGAUCCUCCCCGACAACGGUGCCAGAAAUUGGCACGUUGACGGGAGACUAUUCUUGACUUGAUCCUCCCCGACAACAGCGCCAGAAAUUCUUCUGCUACGGCGACAGAAAUCCUUCGGUUGCCUCUUGAGCUUGCGUCAGUUUUUCCCUUGAAGACGAAAGGGUUGUGCAGCACAGGAGCAGUAAGUAUUCCCCUCAGUUUGAGAGCAAGGUAUCAAUCGAGUAGGAGAAUCGCGCCAAGUCGAGAGUACCUGCGCAAACACAAAAGAGCUUGCACCCAACGCUAUAAAGGGGUUGUCAAUCCCUUCAAGAUUGAUUGCAAAGUGAGAUCUGAAGGCAGAAAGUGCAACGAAGUAAAAUUGUAAGGCUGAAAAUAUGGUGUGUAGUAGACCCGGGGGCCAUAGUGUUCACUAGAGGCUUCUCUCAAAAUAGCAAAUAAUAUGGUGGGUGGACAAAUUAUUGUCGAGCAAUUGAUAGAACCGCGCAAAGUCAUGAUGAUAUCUAAGGCAAUGAUCAUACAUAUAGGCAUCACAUCCGAGACAAGUAGACCGNCAAACAAAACCCACAACUCGAAGAGAAUUACAAGGAUAUGAAAUCAUGCAUAAGAGAGAUCAGAAGAAACUCAAAUAAGAUUCAUAGAUAAUCUGAUCAUAAAUCCACAAUUCAUCGGAUCUCAACAAACACACCGCAAAAUAAGAUUACAUCGGAUAGAUCUCCAUGAAGAUCAUGGAGAACUUUGUAUUGAAGAUCCAAGAGAGAGAAGAAGCCAUAUAGCUACUAGUUGUGGACCCGGAGGUCUAUGGUGAACUACUCACGCAUCAUCGGAGAGGUCAUGGUGUUGAUGAAGAAGCCCUGUGUAUCCGAAUCCCCCUCCGACAGGGCACCAGAACGUGCCCCAGAUGGGAUCUUGUAGAGACAGAAGCUUGCGGCGUCGGAAAAGUAUUUUCGUGGAUCUCCCCGUCAGUUUUGGAUUUUUUCUGAAUUUAUAGGCGGAAGAGGUAGGGUAGAUGAGCCACAGGGGGCCCACAAGCCUGCUAGACGCGGGCCCCCCUGACCGCUCCCAGGGGGCUUGUGGGGUCCCUGCUGGCCCCUGCCUUGGUUCUCAAGUCUGGUGCGUAUCUUCUGUUCUGGAAAAAAUCUUUUCGAAAGUUUUAUUCCAUUUGGACACCGUUUAAAAUCCUCCUGUGAAAAAGGGUCAAAAACACGGAAAAAACAGGAACUGACACUUGGCACUGAGUUAAUAAGUUAGUCCCAAAAAAGAUAUAAAAGGCAUACAAAACAUCCAAAGUUUGACAAGAUAAUAGCAUGGAACCAUAAAAAGUUAUAGAUACGUUGGAGACGUAUCACAAAGCAAUAAAAAAUUCUCCUAAAUGUGCAUAAUCUUUUAUUGUAAGGGAAAAUAAGCUUUCUACGAAUUUAUGAUGGUAACGUAAUAAAAAAGCGGACUGCUUAAUAAAGGUUGCCAUCAUAAGGGGCAAUAUAAAGUGAUGUUCCUUUAUAUUAAGAACUUGCACAUCCAAAAACUAAAAGCGCAUGACAACUUGUGCAUCCCUCUAUGAAGGGCAUAUCUUCUAUUUUUCACAUUUUUACUUGUAUGAAAUAGUCAAAAAUAUUUUAAUACUAAUCCAACCUUAAUUAUUCUCCACUUGGCAAGCACUAUGUGGUAGGGAAAGAUCCAUGUACAGUUAAAUAUAUGUGAUCAUGAGCUAUUAUUCUUGACAUUAUCCUAAGAUAAAUAAGUUGGGAGGAGUAACAUUAAACCCCCAUAUUUGUUUGUGUAUGAUUGAUACAACUUGUUGUAAAAAUAUGCUUUGAGUGUCACCAAUCAUGGAAGAAUAUAUGAUAGUUAAGUAUGCAAAGUUUGCUAAACUAAAAGCUCUUAUAUAGAUCCUUCCUGGAAAUGUAAUGAAUUGCAAUUGCUUUGAUGACUAAGAGCAUAGUUUGUUAGUUUUUCAAUGAAGUUUAUUGCUUACACUUUAGCUUGUGAAUGAAUUAUUUCUUGAUCAUGAGAAGUUUUAUGACAAAUAAUUGUUGUUAUAAUAAUGAUCAUGGUGCUACCAUGUUAGUAUUUUCUUUUAUCGACACCCCUCUCUCUCUCUCUAAACUUGUGGUCAUGUUUAUUGAGUUGGGUUUCCGCUUGAGGACAAGUGAGGUCAAAGCUUGGGGGAGUCAAUACGUCCAUUUUGCACCAUGUUUUCUUACUGUUAUUUAUAAUGUUUUGGAGUUCUAUUUCACUUUGUGAUGCAAUUCUAAUGCUUUUUCUCUCCUUCUUAAAAUGCAAGAUAUACCAAAAGAGGGAGAUUGGCAGUAGUUGGAAUUUUGAGCCUGAAAAGGCUACAAUAGAGAUAGCUAUUCAUUGGAGCUCCAAAUGACCUAAAAAUUCAUGGAGAAUUAAUUUAAAAUAUAUUAAAAAUACUAGAAGAAAUAAGUAUCAAAGAAGAUCCUCGGUGAGCCACAAGGCACGAGCGAGUCCUGAUGCCAUUUGGGGCCCAUAGAGGACCUCUAAAGCCCAUCUCGUGCUAUAUGAAUCCAUUUGCGCUAGAAAAUAAAUAAAUAAAGAGAAGGCUUUCGGGACGAAGUGCCGUCAUCUCGAGGCGAAACCUUGGCAAUGAAUACUUUUGCUUUCCGACGGAGCGAUUCCACCGGGGCGACAUUCCUUCGCGAGGGGGUAUCAAAACCAUCGUGAUCACGAACGUUCCUCUCGUCAUGGACGACUCAUCUCCAUCAACAUCUUCACCAACACCAUUUCAUCUACAAACCCUAGUUCAUCUAUUGUAUCCAAUCUUUAAUUGUCUCAAACCUAAGAUUGAUACCUAUGGGUUAUUAAUAGUGUUGGUUACAUAUUGUAGUUGAUACUAGUUGGUUUAUUUGGUGGAAGAUUAUAUGUUCAACCUGCUUAUUAAUUCCUUGUGCUCCUUGUUGGGUUCAACACUCUUACUUAUAAAAAGGACUAUGAGUGAUCCCCUAUACUUGUGGGUCAUCAAUAUCAUAGGUCGAGGUCGCUGUCCACUUAUCCGAGGGCAUGGCGGUUGUCGGUAGGCUGUCGACAGACUCGUCGACCUCCUCGUCCAUGUCUUCGGUCUCGUCCAUGUGCCUUCAAGGAUGUCGGUUAGAUCCUCGACAUCGGCAACAAGACGGGUGGUGGUGGGUCAAAACUAUUGGCCCUUCCUGAGGACUCAUGGAUCCAAUUGUACACCGAGAUCGGGUCAUCUGAUGUUGCGAGCUUCUGGACCGAUCUAGCUACUCAUCUAGAAGAAGUUUCUCAUGCUCCCUCCGAGUCCGGCCCGGUACCUAAAACAUGGAGAGCGACUUCGAGAUCCUAUGUGACAUUAACCUCGGAAAAGAUUCCACGCGUUCGUCUUGAGCUUUAGUCAAAAUCAAGACCAUGGAAAGCGGCUUUGAGAUCCGACGUGACAUCAAUCUGAGAAAAGGAGUCUCACGUUCUGCCAAGGCCAGAUCUAACAUCAAGGUCACGGGGAGCGACUUCGCGGUCCGAUCUAGGAUCGACCACAUAAGAGGAUUCUCACGCUCAUCUUGAGCCUAAUCUAACAUAGGCCCCGGGACAAGCGGUUCAUGUUGCUCCUCGACUAGGCGCAACACCGAGCUUGUGAAUAUCAACUCCCGUUGGCAAUCUAUGGUGUACUUCAUGUUGUCAAACCUGACGGUCUACCUUCGAGUAAAGGAUUUGACUUGGCCAAGGUGGCUAGCCGAGUUGGUGACAAUGGUGACCCCGUCAAAGAUGAACAUCUACCCCGACACAAAGAUCUCGUCGGAACUGAUAUGCCCGUUGAUCCCGACUCCCAUCAAUCUGCGACGAUCACCUAGCAGACAUGCAUGGGCCACCACCGAUGGAACCUAAACCGACCGAUCUCGAGGCAGGGGAUCCUAAGCUAGAUGAUUUGGAACAAGGGCAACAGAGAUACAAGGAUUUUACCCAGGUUUAAAUUCUUCGAGAACACAAUACCUUACUUCGUGCCAGUGUUUAUUACGUUGGAGUAGGUACACAAUACAUGCUUCUACUAAAAGAUUUCUUAUUGUUGUUUACGGGUCGGGCCCCUUGAUUUAUAUAGGUAUGAGGUUACUAGGGUAUAAAAUCCUAAUCGGCUACAUAUGGAGAGGCAAUCCUUUUCAGAUCCAACACUUUAUCGUGCGUGUCAAGUCUACGGAAUCCUAUGAUUAUACGUCAUGGGCCACUCGAUGUGGCCCAUAUCGAAACCAACAAGGGGUCCUAAGUCCGACCCACCAGACGUGGAUCGACAUGGUAAGGACCCCUUAGCAUGGUUAUCGAAUUGCUUUCAUUGAUUUUUUGAGGAUGUGGGCGAGUUUGCGCUAUCUCUCUACUCACACGAACGCGGCAUUACAUUUUUUUUUUUGAGCAGGAACGUGAUAUUACAUUCCCCUUCACUGCAUGCACAUACACUCACUAUUUAAAUUCAUUCCUAACAGAUUUGAUCGAAGUGCUUUAAGAUUGGCGCGGUCUGAAAUUUUGGUGCACCCAGAUGGCCAAAAUUACGUACCCCGGGAGAUCGCACGAGAUACUAGUCCAGAAGUUUCGAUCCCCUCUCUCUCUCUCUCAAAAAAAAGAAAAAAGAAAAAAAAAGAAGUUUCGAUCCCCUCUCCUCUCUCACUUUCCCGUUUGUUCUCUUCACCCCCAUUCCUCCGGGCUCGCCGUCGCCGACGGGACCUCCUCCACCUCCCGCACAUCCUCACCAACAUCUCCCCAAGACUAAGGCGUAAGGAGGAAGCAAGCGCCCACCUCCCGCCGCCUCCACUGCCACCGCUGUAGCAGCAGUAGCGUACGCAGGAGAUUCAGAACUGUGUGUUGAACACGCGCGUGGCAGGGAUGGACGACGGCGACAGCGUCGCCCGGAGCGCAGACAAGGAUGCCCCCCCGGGAGACGACGGGAGCUCCACGCCCCUCCCCGAGACGGUGAGGAUCUCCUCUAUUAUGCAAGCACCGCGUGUUUGUUUCGAAUUGUCCGCUGUUUAGAUUUCAUUCGCGUGAUUGAACGUCUUUAUUGGUGCGGUAUGGUUCGGAGUUGAGCGAUUCGUGCUUGGAAAUGGCACAAUCUCGUGCGGCCGCAGGGUUCCAAGGAGCUGGGUAUGGAGAUAUCUUGUUUAGGACUAUAGGUUCCAUGCUAGAAGCGCGAGUAGACAUGAAUUCGGUAUUUUCUUAGGUCUGAGAUGACAGGAAUGGUCACUAUUGAAUGGUAGGACCUGCAGAGGUAUGAAAAUGUGACAUGAGCAUGCUGUCCGAGAAGUUCCAUUAGUGUUAUGGAUGGCCUUGCAGGUCUUUGUUCUUAACCUACUAUAUUCGUGUUUUUUCACGGCACAAAUGGAGCAAAUAUGCUUCUUUAACAUAGCAGGAAGUAGAUGCGCGAGUUUGAAUAUGCUACUGUGGUUGUUAUGGAACAGUAGGAGCUAAUUAACGCAACAAGCAGUGCCUAACUGAGAUUUCUAAAUUUGGAAAAGGAAAUGUGGGAAUGCAACAGCGUAGGUUGGUCGGUAUAUGCUUGUGCAAGUGUGUACUGUUUAUUUUUACAGAACAAAGUGUGUAUGGUUUCUAGGGUUUUGAACUGGGUUGCAAACUCUGCUUAUGUCUUGGUAAGACAAAACCUUCUUUAGUGCUGAUUCUGUGUUCCUUUUUGAACCUGUGCAUGCCAUUUAUGGUAAACAAUGUUAAAAUAACUACUCUUCAAAUGGAUAUUAACAUCUCCAUAGACCAUAGACUAGUAGUUUUGAUCACAUAUACUCCCUCUGUCCCAAAAUAAGUGUCAUUGAUCUAGUACAAAAUUUGUGCUAAUUUAGUACUAAAUCUGCGACACCUAUUUUGAGACGGAGGGAGUAAUUCUUAGACUGCUUGUUGGUGGCAUUCCAGAAUAAACAUCUGGAUGCCUACAUGCUGCAAAAGCUCAAAAUGUCCUUUGCUUCAUGUUUUAUGCAGUAUUACUACCUAUUUUGGUCAGGGUGUUAUAUAACUAAAUUCAUAGAUGCAUGUGAGCCUGGAUUUUUUCUUGUUGUUAGGAAAUAGGAAAUAUGCAUACACACACACACACACACACACGUGUGCAGGUGGUAAAUAUGUAGGAAACCCCUCAUACUAUGGGAAAAAUAUACAGCCUAUACAUGGAACAUAAUAUAACUCACCCUGUUGUCGUGGGAAAUUGAUCCGCACAGCACCACAAAUUCCUCACUUACGUGGAGGUAAACAGACCAUUUUUAUGCAAAACGGCAAAGAUGAGCCAAACCCUAGGGCUGCUAGGGCUGUGCAGAAGCUACGACCUAGGCGCUGGAAGGAGAAAGCUUAUAGGAGAAAAAAGUAACGUAGAGUUGCGAAAGGAUCAAUGAUUGUAGCUUUUCAGUCGACCAUGUACCCAUAUAUAUUAGGUAUGCUUGGCCUUUGGCAAUUUGGAAUAGGACCCCUGACUAGUCAGGUACCAUUUCCUUGGCAUACAAGCCAAAUUGGUAAUCUUUAAUUAAUUCGGCUAGACCUGUAAAAGCACCAGCCUGAGCCCAAUGCUAGUACACCUUCCUUAUUAGCUCUGUUCUCGCCGAAUAGCUGAUCAUGCAAAAUCUUUUCUAUCUCAAGCAUUCUAAACCAGAUCUCUUUCCUUUUUUCUCUUCAUGCGUGAGCUCCAGCACACAAUUCUGUUGCAUCCAGCCUGCUGCACCUAUCCUAUGUACUUGCAAUCAUGUGGCCAUUCUCAAACAAUGUAUCAACCAAUUAGCUUAUCCACCAAAACUAAAUAAUCCGGCUGACCAUUCAAGCCAGAUCCAAAUUAGACUGUCAACACAUGCCCCCCUGGUUUUGGUGUAAUUUUAUUUGCCAAAAACACCAUGGCAAUAUCUUGAGACGAUUUCAACCACUUCACCGGUCAUAUCAAUUGCUUAGGGCGAUGUCCACAUAACACACCUGCCAAAUUUAGCAUAAGGUGAUAUCUAAAAUCACAUCGGGCAUGUUUUGCUUAGGGCGACAUCUUAAAUAAUAUCGCCCAUAGUGCCAUCAAGCUUCUUGCCACAUUCUAGGAUAGUGCUUCUUCAGAUAUUUUCUAUUGAGAGCUUUAGGCAAUUUCUCCCCUUGCAAAAAUUGUAGAGAAUAUCAAUUUCCAGGAACAAUCUCUACAAUCUUAUACGGACCUUCCCAACUUGGCGACUAUUUGCCGAAUUUAUUAUUUCUAGUUCCUAUAGACAAAACCGUUCUCCGCACUAAUUCUCCUAUUUGAAACGAUUUCCCCCU
RNAcentral lists this long non-coding RNA (51124 nucleotides) under Hordeum vulgare. RNAcentral's name for it is "long non-coding RNA (HVUL_LNC000811)". The record is from RNAcentral. Lineage: Eukaryota; Viridiplantae; Streptophyta; Magnoliopsida; Poales; Poaceae.